UUUUUUUUUUUUUUAGUAAUAGGAAACUCAUUGUGUACAAUAUGUGAUUGGUAUAAUCAGUGUAUAAUAUUAAGUUAUCAUUAUUAGCUGUUGAGUAGAACGAUUUCAGGCGACAACAACACAAGGAGAAGAGGAGGCAUAGCCGCAUAGGGCCUGAAGAGGAAAAACUGUGGAAGGUGCAAGGACCGCUCGUGGAUAAAAUAAGAGCAUUUGAAUUUUUCUGAAAUUGGUUCAAUUGCUUUGAAAGCAGUGGAGGAGAUUUUUUGUGUUGUGUUACUGAUGUUGGAGUUUCUACGGUGGCCAAAGACCAACACUGGUAUGGUGUGAUGAAAGAAAAGCGUAGGGCUCAAGGUUUAACACUUAAAGAGAGUUUCUGAACUCAUGUAUCCUGCCAAAGUAAAUAUUCGCAAAUUACAGUGGAGUACCUUUUUCCGCCAAAAUCAAAAACCACGGAAUUAUGUUUUGCCACCAAAAUUUUGAGAUCGUAAUUUUUCUGGAAAAAUUGUGAAAUAACUCUUUCCCGCCAAUACUUCUAAAUUACGAAAAUAGGAAUUUUUACCAAAUUUGUAAAAUCGCAAUCUGUGAUUUUGCAUGUUCGACGAAAAAACAUUAUUAUGCGGUUUUACCACACAAAAAAAAACAUGAUUCACGUGUUUGGCUGGAAAACACGAUUGGAUGAUUUCUUUUUUAAAGUAAACUAGAUCCUGACCCGCACAUUCGUGCGGGGAAAAUUUUUUAAUGAAUGUCUUUGCAUAAAGUUUGUAUUAAUAUAUUAUUUUGUUGGUUAGUGAAUUAUAUAAUAGUAUAGAUACCCUAAACUUAGCAUAAUAAUUGUAGAAUUAUGUUUUGUGUUUUAAAAAUAGUUUGGUGCAUAAGUUUGUGUUUUCUAUUUGAUUAGUUUUAAAUUUAGAAUUGAAAGUUGAGAGUUUUAAAAAUAAAUUAGCGUCAGAUUUAAGUAAUUUUAUAUGUGUUUUUUUAAAAAUAUAUAGAUUGGUGCAUAAGAAAUAAUUUGAACAGUUGGAGAAGUUAUGUGUCUAAAAGUUAUUAUACAAAUGUUAAAAAUUGAAAGAAUAUAAUAUUUUAAAAUUUAUAAAUUAAAUAGUUGGUAAUGCAAUAUAAUUGUUUAUAAAUUACUAUUCGGUAAUUCUCAAACAUUUUUACGGAAAUAUAAUUUACUGGCACAAUAAUCAAGCCGAGAUAUUUUUUUGUGGACGGAAUAUAAUGUUAAUGUUGACCCAAUUAUAAAGCUUCCUUCACCCAUUUAAUAUUUUCGUUUAAAUAAAUUGAUAUUUAGUAUAUUAAUGAAUUUUAAUUUAUUUAUUUGGACAGAUUUAUUUUUUAUUUUAGAACAAUCGUUAUUGUCCUUGUUGCUUCUUAAUGCCUAACACGUGUCUGAGUGAAGAUAUCUCUUCUUCUUCCUUAACGUAUCAUCGACUGGACUUUUAAUGGGCCGCUUAAUUUUGUAAGAUAUCUUUAUGUACUCUUGUUGAUGUAUGUUGUCUUAUAUCAAUAAAAUUCAGAGAAAAAAAAAUGUCGAAAAGAAUAAUCGUUGUCUCAUCUUAAAAAACAAAAAAAAAAAAAACCCACCGAACAAAAGUAAGAACAUGGCUCGAUCGAAGAAUCAAUUGCGACAGCUAUUUCGUCUCCGUUUAUACAGUGUUGCAAAUCGUGAAUUCUUUAAAGAGGUAAGGUUGUUAUCGAAUCAGAUCUAUAGUUUUACUGCCUCAAUUCCCAAUCUGUGAAUUUUUAUGUUUGAAUAGAUAUCCUUGUCCAAGGAUUGUCAAGAAACACCAGAUCUUCUACGGGUAACUAUUGUCAAUUGAAUAUCCAAAUUUUUGUUUUCACUGAAUUAAAUCAACUAAUACGAAUUUGAUUUCGUGUAGUUUUUCUCGUUAGCUACAGAAGCAAGAUGAACAUUAAAAUUCCAGUUUACCGAGCUAUUUUUUUUUUUAAACCCAUCAAUUUUUUACAGUAUAUUUAUGUUAGCUGAAAAGAGUUCUAUUUAAUUUAGCUUCUAUAUAUAUAUUUCAAAUAUAAUGAUGUUAAUGGAAGAAAAGGAUAAACAAAGAAGAAAAACUGAUACGAUUAUUAGAAAACAAUAGCUAUUACCAAAAAUUUAAACAUGGAAUGUAUUCAGGUCAAGUAUAAAUUGCGAGUAACCUAAAAAUGUGGAGGAGGCUAUCACGUUUUGUCAUUGGAGCUAUUCAAAAAUCUAUUGGUUGAAGGUUAGUGUCUUAGUGAGAUCAUAAUUUAUACACUUUGUUUAUUAGAUUUGCAUAUUUACCUACUGUUAUUGAGUCUAAUUGUGGGUUACUUAAUAUAGAAAACUUUGUUUUUCUCUAGUAUGUUAAAAUGAAAGUACUAAAUAAGAGAUGCAAAGUAUUAAAAAUUCUACCAUUGUUUGAUAUGCAUUAAUCACCUUUACACGAAUGAACGAUUUUUACUUGGAUUCUGCAUCUUGUCUUGAAAGGUUUGAUGUUAGCAAGAUUGGUGAUAUAAGAUUUCAUCCAUUGUUAGAAAUGAGAAACGAAGUAGCAAUGUUGAAAUAGCAAGAUUGGUCUUUUGCAGUCAUUUUUAAAAAAGAAGUAGCAAAAGGUUAGGGGUCGUUUGAAAGCUUAAUGAGUAUGGAAAAUGGUAUUAGUCAUUCUAUAUUUAUAGGGAAAAGAGGUCGGCUAGGGUUAAACCUAUUAGAUCAAAAGAAUAUAUUUGCAAAUCCAUUUUUUAAAUAAAGUUUUAAGGUAUAUACUUGAUUUGAGAGGUAUAGAAUAUAUAGUUAUUGUUAUAUUUGGAAAAUAUAUUAACUGAAUUCGAAAAGAUUGAAAACAACCUUCAAGUUUGGAUAUUUUUGAAACGAAUUAUUGUUACUAUUACUAUCUAUCCUUAUUUUGUAUUCGAAAUUAAAGGGAUACGUUUGUUUUGGUAAUAUCUUUAAAUUCGUAAAUGUCAUUUUUGGUUUCCAAUUAAUUUUGUUCAGAUUGCCAAAAUCUCAACCGGCCGGAUCAAGCAAAGGAUCGAGCCCAUGAUCCGCGUGUCGACCCGCCAAAGAACCCCAGGAUCUGCGUGUUUAUUCGGUCCAGUAGCCCAAGAUCUGCGGGUUACUUCCUUUCAAAUUAUUGUUUUACCCUUCUACGUGUUUCUUUUUUUACUCUUUGAAUGCAAAAUUCCUAAUGGCAUUCUUUGUAAUUCUUUACCCUUUAUAAGAUUAUUUAUUAUCUAAUGCUUUCCAAUUAAUAGUAUAGAUUCAUUUAUCAAUUUAACUAUUAUAUAAAUAGAAAUUUAUAAAUGUCAACAAUAAUAAUUUGAAAAUUAUCUACUGAGGCGUUUACCUUCGAACUAAUACAAGAAUUGGGCCAAUAAUAAGAGCCUACUAAAAAUGAUAUGGACUUUAUCUAACAUGGAUUUAAUAAGAGAUUGACAAAUAAAAACAAUCCAUCUGGGACUGAGUCAAUCUAAUUGUAGUAGGGUUCUUUUUCUUUUCUUCUUUUGCCAUUCAUAGAUAUUGCCAUAUUGGGUUUCUAGUUUUCAACAAAUGCGUUGAGAAGAAUAGUUCCAUAAAUAUUGUUAGUCCAAAUUUUAGGUGUUAAUAUCAACAAUAAAUUUUAGUUUUUACUAAUAAAUCUAAGCUAGAGUGAAGAAAAAUAUGCAUUUUGAUAUUGUAAAUUCACGAAUUUCAAGGUAUAGGAGAGAAACCAUAAGCAUAUAUAAGUUCACAAUUCAAACUAAAAAGGCUUUAACAAUGCCUUUUUUCAAAUAUGGGUAAUCUAAUAAACCUUCUACCUUUGAUGAUUUGAUCACUCAUAUUCUGUACGUGAUUUAUAUAUAACUAGGUAUUCACUAUUUCACUUUGAUUUUGAUCACUAAGAACAUCAGAGAACAACUACAUGUCAUGUACUAUACAUGUUCUGAGUUCGAGAAGAGCUAGUUUUGGACCAAAAGACACGAAACCUGCCUACAAAAAAUUUAAAUGACUGCAAAGAUAUUUGUAAAACUUAAGAUGCUUUGCGUGAGGGUAGACAAAAAGAGGCUUGUCAAGCAAAAAGUGGACAUAAUGGAUGAACUAGUUAGUGUCAUGAAGUAUUUGUCUAGAACGUGAACAUCUUUCUUCUCUACUUGAAAUCCCUUUAGCGAAAGAGACAUAAACAACAAUAAACUUUUUUUUUUGAUAGGAACAACAAUAAACUUUAAAGUAAAAGAAACCAAAUAUUGAGACAAAAUCUUGUUAAAGGUUAGAUUAGGUAAGAGAUUCACUCCAAGAAGCCAAAUAAGACAUUGCAACGUAAAAGGUCCUGAUAGUGGUGAACUGAUAUUUGUUUCACCACUAUCACAUAGUUUUCCUUGUACGUUGAACUGAAAAAAAAAUCAUAAACCACCGACGAUAUAAAUGUUUACGGUCUGUAUUUGCGUGAUCUGUGAGCUGUAAUUUUACGUCAUAUUACUAUUGUCAAUUUGUAUAUACUCGCAAGUAGCAAAAUAUAUUUUGUGACAAAUUAAUAGCAAACUGAGUUACCAUUUCAUCCCUCUAAUUAAUUAACCUAUUGAAAUUAGCGACGAAAAAAUUAUUGCAGCAAUUUUUAAAUUUUUUACUAUAACGAUUGUUAACAACAUAUCAAACGUGGUUGCAUGAAAAUAUAUCAAACUCUGACAUUUAAUAAUCUAAGGUUAUGCUCACAUAUUAUAAACUUUUUAGAAAACCUAAUAUACCUUUAUUCAAUAAUUAAAUAUAAUUGUUUUACUUGAUUUAACUCUAGAUAGUAAGGGUAAAAUUAGAAAUGUUACAUAAAAUUUGCAUAGGAAAUACAAAAAUCUAUCUUUAUGAUUCUGUUAUUUUAAUCUCUCUGUAUGAAACGGAGAGAAUAACAAUCAAUAACUUGUAGUAAAUAUAGGGAUACAUAGUGACCAUGAAAUGAAAUAGAUAAGAAAAGAAAAACAAAAUAAGGUAGUUCAGAUAGAUCAAUUAAUUGUAUUGUAGUUGUAAAGGAAAGAUAAUGAUUUAGGUUAAUUAAAUUGUCAACUAAACACAAACUGGCAGAGUGUGAAGAAGACAAAGAUGGUGACAAGUAAAGUUUUCAAAUAUCCUAAAAGCAAAGGUCAUGCAUGAGUUCAGGGGGGUAAGGAAGUAUAAGCUUAGUUAAUUAAUCAACUAUUUUACUUAAAUUAAAAAGGGUUUAAUCAAUAUAAAGCAGUGUUCUAAAAAGCGGUCUAGGCGGUCGCCUAGGCCCCGACUAGGCGCUAGACUAUCAUGCAACGCCUAGAUAACCGCUUUGACCGCCUAAAAUCACAUAGUUCUUGUUUAAUAUAUUUUUUUAAUUUUAAUAAGAGUUUUAUUUAUAUAUAUAGUUAAAAUAUUCAUAUAUUGUUUAAUAUAAAUAUAAAUAAAUGUUUUAUCUAGUUUUUGUUUAUAAUUUCAUAAUUUUGAGUUUUAUAUAGAUAUUUUAUAUAUAAUAUUAUAUUUAUAAUAUUUUAUGUUAUAAACGUCUAAACCGCCUAAAAAUCGCCUAAGCCCCGAUUAAGCGUUCUAGGCGCUAGGCACUGGGUCACCGCCCGCUUAGCGCCUAGCGCUUUCUUGAACAUUGAUAUAAAGUAAUAAUAAUAGCAUUUAAAAAGGUUUAGUGAUCAAAUCAGGUUUGUAGUUAGUAAGAUUCGGGAAGAUCUUGCCAUGUCUAAACAAAUACUUAAUUUCAACGUCAAUCACGCCAACACUUUAAACUUGAUGUUAAUCUAUUGUUUAUUAAAGUAUUUUUGGUGGGACCUCAAUUAUAACCUGAUUAAUCAUACACAAAUGCAUAGAUCAUUAUAUUAAGUGGGUAGAUCAAAGAUCUAUUCAAUAGAAUUGUAAUCUUUUAAUUAUUUCUACAAACUAAAAACCAUAUAGUAAGAGAAAAUUCCUUUAUGUCCAAUCAACUAAUUGAAUGGUUCAAAUCCCGUGACAUAGUUGAAAACUUAAACAAUGAUGAGAUUAUGUAUAUGCUUAUCUAUACUAAACUAUAUAAUAUACGAUUAAUGCUUUACGAGGUAUGUAGACCUUCCUAUCUUUUAUAUUAUUCUUAUGUCUAUUAUGUGUACACGCACACAAAUAUGGUACAUGUAAUCAUUUUAUGUAACAUAUAUGUAUAUAACAAUUUUCUAAGAAUUAUUAAAGAUGUAUUAAAGAACCAUAAAACUCGGAAACUUAACCAUUAAUCAUAUAUAUAAAAGAUUGUAAACUAUGUGGAAACAUGCCAUAAGCACUCCAUAACAAAGUGAGUGGACCAACCUAGACUCCAUAAUUAUUUUAAAUCUCAUCUUAAUUAUAUAAAUAUAUGCACAUGCAAACUUAAGCUUGAUCUCAUUUUAAGUCUUUAAUCUCAUCUUUCCAUUUUCAAGAAGACUUUUAAAUCUGUCUCUCUCUCUCUCUUCCUAUCUCUCUCUUUGUACAUACAUAUAUGGCGACAGAAACAUCUUCUUUGAAGCUCUUCGGUAUAAACCUACUUGAAACGACGUCGGAUACAAACCGGUCGUCCGAACCAAGAUCCGGACCCGGAACUGGAUCCGAGUCACGUAAGUACGAGUGUCAAUAUUGUUGUAGAGAGUUUGCGAACUCUCAAGCUCUUGGUGGUCACCAAAACGCUCACAAGAAAGAGCGUCAGCUUCUUAAACGUGCACAGAUGUUAGCUACUCGCGGCUUGACACGUCAUCAUAAUUUUCACCCUCAUACCAAUCCGCUUCUUUCCGCCUUCGCACCGCUGCCUCACCUCCUCUCUCAGCCGCAUCCUCCGCCGCAUAUGAUGCUCUCUCCUUCUUCUUCGAGUUCUAAGUGGCUUUACGGUGAACACAUGUCGUCACAAAACGCCGUUGGGUACUUUCAUGGUGGAAGGGGACUUUAUGGAGGUGGUAUGGAGUCUAUGGCAGAAGGGGUUAAGGCUCACGGUGGUUCUUUGCCGGAGAUGAGGAGGUUCGCCGGAGAGAGUGAUCGGAGUAGCGGAGUCAAGUUAGAGAAUGGUAUUGGGCUGGACCUCCAUUUAAGUAUUGGGCCAUGAAUGAUUUUUAUUUUGGCCCAGUAAAAAUCUGUAAAAUACUACUCGGAUCUCAUUUAUCUAGAGUGUUUUUUUUUUUUUUCCUUAAUUUCAGUUGAAAUUAGUGAUUAUUUUUUUCUUACUUUACCAAAUCUUAUAUUCUAUGUAUGCGUUUGCUUUCACCUUUUUUAUAUUCUUCUUGUAAAAAUGCAAUGUGAAUUUUCUUCCCUAUCAUUCUGUCAACUUUGGUUCAAUUAUUUAGUAAUCGAAAAUUAUAGCUAGGAAUAGUGUUGAAAGAAGUUGAUUAGCUAGUUUGUGAGAUGCAUACCAAGUCGAUUUCAGUUUUCUAUUACUUAAGAGUAGCAAGAAGAAAUCUUUUAUAUCUUUAUCCAAUGGUUAUCGUUUUGCUUGUCCUUUACCAAGUUCUCAGUAUAUAUCUGAAAUGAAAUCACAGUCUAGUAUAAAAAAUAGAUGUGCUCAUAACCUUGUGUCGCGUGGAGUAAAGGACGUGAGUGUUGAGUAUGAAACUCUCAGUAGAGAUAUGGAAUCAUACCUGCCGAGAUCGUUAAAGCCAUCAAACUAGAGAAAAAGAAGUUGGCUUUAGUUAAGUAAAGUUGUGCUUAAACUUAGUCGAAUCUCGGAACUAUUGACACACAAACCGUCGGAUUAUGUAGGUAUUGAGGUUGAUGCUCUUCGGGAGCUGCUUCCCUAUAGUUGUCCUUCGGCAAAGCGGGAUCAACUUCUUGCAGAUGUUACGGAGGAUGAGGUGAGAAAAGUUUUGUUUUCUAUGCCUACAAAUAAAUCGCCGGGACCGGAUGGUUACACAGUGGAGUUCUAUAAGGCAGCUUGGUCAAUUAUUGGAGGUGAUUUCACAGUUGCAAUACAAUCUUUCUUCAAGUUUGGUUUUUUGCCAAAAGGACUAAACGCGACAAUUCUAGCUCUUAUCCCAAAAACAAUAGAUGCACGGGUGAUGAAAGACUAUAGACCCAUUUCUUGCUGCAAUGUGGCGUAUAAGACUAUCUCAAAAAUAUUGGCUAAUCGGUUAAAGACCAUUCUCCCCGAUUUCAUUGCUCCGAAUUAGUCAGCGUUUAUUGAGGAUAGACUUCUAAUGGAAAACUUACUUCUUGCCACUGAAUUGGUGAGAGAUUAUCACAAGGAAGGUGUGUCUUCUCGUUGUGCUCGCAGCAAUGGACCUACUAGAACAAUUCAUUCAUUAGAUUUCUCUAUGUAUAUCAACGGCCUCUUUCUCUAUUCAAAUAAAUGGAGAGCUUGCUGUUUUUUUCAAGAGUAAAAAGGGGUUGCGACAGGGAUGCUCUCUCUCUCUCUCUUCAUAUCUAUUUGUGAUCUGUAUGAAUGUUCCAUUGCUUGAAAAAAUCAGAGCUCAGAUUAGUUCGUGGAAAAACAGAUUUCUAUCCUUUGCGGGAAGAUUACAACUACUACGCUUCGUGAUCGCAAGUCUUACCAACUUCUGGAUUGCUACAUUUCGAUUACCUUCUGCCUGUGUAAGGGAGAUAGAAAAGAUAUGUGCUGCAUUUUUGUGGUCGGGACCGUCUCUCAACACAAAGAAGAACAAGGUAGCGUGGAGGGAUGUUUGUAAGCCAAGGGAUGAAGCUGGUUUGGGGCUAAAAUCUGUGGUUGAGAAGGUAGGCUGUUUUAAGCUCAUAUGGCGGAUAGUCUCAAGUCCUAAUUCACUCUGGAUAAAUUGGAUUAGAAGAGAACUCAUUCGAUCAGGUUCAUUCUGUCCAUCAAAGAAACCACCUCUUUGGAUUCUUGGAUGUGGAAGAAGUUGCUCAAAUAAAGAUCACAGGCCAAGGAUUUUCACUCAAUGGAAAUUAAAAGCGGGUUACAAACAUCCUUUUGGUAUGAUCACUGGUGCUCCCUUGGUCGUUUAUAUGAUAUUCUUGGUGUGAGGAGUUUCAUUGAUUGUGGGGUUUCCUCAAACGCUACGGUUGCUGCAGUCCUAGCAAAUCACAGAGCUAGGCACCAACUUCUCCGAUUGUUAUUCCAUUUUAAAACCUUCGCUCAUGUCAAAUUGGUCAUCACCAAAUUUGCAGGAACAAACAUGAUGAAGAUAGAAACAAACAAUUACACGACAGACGAGAUCGCGUACUUUCACUAGAGGCUCAAUGAAGAGUCUAAACAGCUAUACCAAAGAAAUUUUGGAUCGAAUAUAUUCCGCGAGAAACCAUUUUUUAGUUAGAGCAUACUCAUUAACAUUUACCAUGCCCCAUAUAUGAUCAAAUCCUAUCUGACCUAUCUUGCCAAGCCUAUUUCAAAAACUGAUUUUAUCAAACACAAGCGACAAGAAAAAAAAAAGAUAAGAAAAACGUGAGGCACACUUGACCACAAUAUGCUAACCAGUACCAUCUGAUUCCUUCAUAUUUAACCUCCAACAAAGCCUAAGAUAAACCUAUAAAGUAAGUAUCCAACACAGGAAUGAGCAAAUCACAUUGGAAACCUGUUCAAAAGCUUCAAGGACUUGAAAGGUACACGAGUUUCAACAUCCAUAUGUGUGUUCCCAACAUUACUAUAGAUAUCAAAAGCAGUUGCUCAAUAUCACCUAUGAUCAACCUCCGAGUUACUAUCGGUACAGGUUUUACCAUUAUUGUCAGGUAAUCUAUGGUUUGUCAACAAACUGCUCAUUAUCCCAGUGAAAAAGUAGUUCCUGUGGUUUUGAUUGAUCCAAAAUCUCAAGGGAACAAUGAGUCAACAAAAAGUAGCGGGUUAAUGAAGAGAGACACAAAGUUCACAGUAUCAGACGAUCUAGUCAUCACACUGAUGAACUCAAGCUCAUCUUUUUGCUUGCUAAAGAAGUUUGAGAUUCACGCAGAGGAUUUAGAGGUGCUACAAGUAAGCAUCAGCAAAACAGAGGUACUGUUUAAUAAUUCGUGCAAUAGUUAACUGAUUCUUGUAUCAGUUAGAAUCAUUUAACCGAUUCUUUUGUGAUCAAAACCAGGCUACAAGUUUGUGGAAGACUUCCUUUGUGACAUCCUCAGCAUUGAACACUUCUUUAAGAAACUUGAUUUUGGAGAAGCUAAAGGUAGAGACUUGUUGAAGAAACAAGACAACCAUAGAUAUUCUGGCAAAAUCCACAUUGUUCAAUCUUUGUUAUUAAGCAUUAUGAAAUCUUCUUUGUGGUCUUGUAGAUCCUUCUUAGAGACUAUUAAGAUUUCGAGAGCUACUUUUUCUCAAUUUCUUGAUACUUGCAGGCGGAUCUAGAAUAAGUUUCUAAUGAGGUCAAUGUAUUAUAUGAAGAGAAAAAAAGGAUCAACUCAAGAAAUUUUAACCAUUUUCUCUAAUUUUCUAUUACGUUUUAAUAACAAAUCAGUUAAAAUAUAAAAGUUAUUGGGGUCAAUUGACCCCACUCCCACCAAGGUAGCUCCGCAGAUGAAUUAUUUUAUGAGAACAUUUUCAAAUUUUCUCCAUACUUCGUCCCAAACAAUUUCCUUUCCUUGUUUAAUUUGGGUUUACUUGAAACUUUAAAUAUCCACGGGUUGUUUUGUAAACAAACAGAGAGCUCCGGGAAUAGAAAUAAAUUUCCUUUCUGGAUAUGUGUCGGAAACUGCUGAGUAGUUGAUACAGCUACCAAAUGUGUGCUUCCCUAUUACGUAACCAAAACUAUAAGUAACUUUUGGAAUAAAAUAAAAACUAUAAGUACCAAUAAUCAACUAAAAAUUAAAUGAAACAGAACUCAAAUUAUGUAUAGUUGAUUUAUCUUUUCACAAAAAAAAAUAAAGUUGAUUUUGCACAAAUUAUAGAAAUAAUCAAGCUUUUUAUCAUCCUCAUAAGCUUAAAAACCAAAAAGAACAAAAUCAAGCCGUUAAUCGAAGAUCCAAUUUCAACAUAACAACACAAAUUGUCACCAUAGAGACAUCAGACAUCAUCCAUAUCCAAAUUCAUCGAUAAAACUUCAGAGCUUGUCAGAAAUUCAAAGAUUUGAUCGAGAUCAUCAAACUCUUGAUAGCGCCCAUCGAAGUUUCCAAGUACUAAACCAUUGUUGUUGCUAUUGUCAGAAACCGCUAGGGUUUGCUCUUCCGUGUUCUUAUGAAACCCUUCGAAAUUCACAGUUACAUCAUCUUGAGUGCAAACACUUGCAGAACACGUUUGAAGAUUUAGGGUUUGCUUUUGAUGAUCAAACUCUUGAUUGCACUCAUCGAACUCAAACUCGUCAAAGAUUUGAUCGAGAUCAAACUCUUGAUUGCACUCAUCGAAGUUUCCAAGUAAACCGUUGUUGUUGUUGCUGUUGUCAGAGACCGCUAGGGUUUGUUCUUCCGUGUUCUUAUUCACAGUUAUAUCAUCUUCAACGCAAACACUUGCAAAACACGGUUGACGAUUUAGGGUUUCCUUUUGAUGCUCUCUUUGCUUUUCCAACUCCUUCAGAUCUCGCAACAUCGUCGACAUUGAAUCCAUCGCAUCUCUCAACUCCUCCAGAUUCUCUGAUUUGGUCAGACUCUCAUCUUCCCACCAAAACCCUAACUUUUCAUCACAAGGACGCUGAUUCGCGAGAAAAGCAGAGACAACACUAUCAACAGAGGAGUGGCCAAAAGUGUAGAAAGAGGCAUUGGAAUUAGAAGAAACAGGAGUUGCUAUGAUCGCAAUCUCUGCGUCGGAGAGAAGACAAAGCUCAGAAGCUUUGCUAUAUAGACCCUUACGACGUUUUGAGAAUGAAACCGCUCGUGAAUCUUUCUUCUCUAUCUUCUUUAUAGCAAUCUUCCUCUUCAAGCCACCCAUUAUGUUUUUUCUCAAUUUCACAAACAAACGAGAACGAGACAAGACUUAAGAAUUUUGUGUUUGCUUGUUGUGAAAGAAUAUGAUAAUGGACUCACUCUGUUUCUAAUCAGAUAUAUAUAGACUUAAGUCCUAAACUCAGCUUCUAAUUAAUCGAUGUUAUUUCCUUUUUCUAACAGUAAUUAAACGACUAAGUAAAAUUGUUUUCCUUUUUUGAAAGUAAUUACUCAAAACCAGACGAACCAAGGCUGGUUCUGUUAAACCAAUUUCCCUUUUUCUGAUAAUCGAUCACCUAAUCAGUAAUUAAACGAAAAAAAUUCAAAAUUGUUUCCUUUUCUAAAAGUAAAUUACUCAAAACCAUCUGCAAAUUAACCAGUAAACCAAUAUGCAAAUUCUCUCUUUAACCGGUUUGGUCAACGGUCAUUAAAAUAAGACCGUUAAAAAGGGUAAAAGCGUCAAUACAACAAAAUAUUAAGGAGCCUCUCUCCUUCUCUUUGUUCAAUCAGACCGUUACGAAUCAAAAAAAAAAAAAAAAAAAAAAGUUGCAAACUUUGUGAGGAAGAAGAAGACGAUACAGUAAUGGAAGAUACAAUCUCAAACCCUAGUAUGGAAUCUCUGUUUUUUUCCGUUGAUUCAAUCUCCGAUACACAACAAAAACUCAAGCUUUUGGUUGAUAAUGGUGAUUACGGAUUCGAAAGAGGAUCUAGAUAUGGAGAAUACGCGAGAUUACGAGAAUCGAAGCUUCGAAUGAAACGAGACUUCGAGAAGAUUCUUAAGGAAGAGGAAUUGAGAUUUGGUUUUAAUAGAGAAGAAGAAAUCAGAGUUUUGCCGGAGAAGAAGACUAGAUUCGGAUUUAUUCAGAAUCAGAGGAAAACGUCGUCGUCUUCUUCAUUGGCUCAAUCGGUUCCUGAUUUCUCUGCUAUGAUUCGUAAAGAGAAUCGUCGACCACCGGUUAAUUCGAAUUUGAUUCCUCGGAGAACAGAACUAACUCCACCGCCGAUGAAGAGUAGAAACGCUGCCGUUUUCGCUGGUUCGGUGGCGAGAGGAAGUGUAUCAGCGAGUGCUGGUGAGAAGAAAGGUAUUGGGAUGAUGCGUAAGAGUUACGCUGCUGUUGAUGAUCUUAAGAAAAUAUCUAUGGCUGCUGCUUCAGCCAUUAACGGCGGUGGAGGAAAAAGGAAAUCUAUCGGCGGUGGCGGAGGAGGAGGAGGAAGGAAAUCAAUUGGCGGUGGUGGUCGGAGUAUUCUAGGUUACAGACAAAUUUACUGAUUCUUUGAUCUUGUUUGCCUCUAAAAUCUAACAUUUGUUGCUCAAAGUUUGUUUUUUUUUCUUCUACGAGUGUCUGUGUUUAAUGGGUUUUUGAUUGAUAAAGAUUAGUCCUUUUUCUGAUUUAGGUUUCGGUGAUUGAUAGAUUUUGUAUCAAUAACGAUAAAGUUUGCAUAGUUCUUAUCAGAAAGCUAAUAAACAUUAUCGUUGAAAUAGCACAAGAAAUGGUGAAUUACAAAUGCUAUUUGACAAAACAUUGAUUAGUUCUAAAAGAGAUUAGCUUUCACCGGUAAGGAUUUCCCUAGAUCGGUUGUUAACUCGCCAACCAAACACCGAAGGAUCUCAUAUGCAAUCUCUGAUCCUAUUCCAAAUAGAAAAGUUUCAGGAUCAAGCCAUUUCUCCAUUUCGAUACCGAUAACCUCAUCCAUGUUAAUCCGAGUCCACUUUGGAACUUCUUCAAGAACACCUCGAAUCAACUCGUCAGGUUUAGCACUGAAAGACUUUAACAAUCCGCAGGAAAUGUUUCGUUCUUCCAAGUGUUCGAUCAUAGCAUCUACGAGGAACCCGCCGGUUAGUCCAGGGAGGUUGACUAUCAUGUGGGGUUAGCGGUAAGGUGGAGUCCGUGAAACAGGCACGUCCCNNNNNNNNNNNNNNNNNNNNNNNNNNNNNNNNNNNNNNNNNNNNNNNNNNNNNNNNNNNNNNNNNNNNNNNNNNNNNNNNNNNNNNNNNNNNNNNNNNNNCAAGACUCGCGAUCGCCUGAUAAUUACCACCACUUGUUGAAUGCUUGAAUGAAGUCGCGGAAUCUUCGAGGAUGUUCCAGUCGGGUUCUAUAGGCUCUAGAGGCAGCCUCAUUUGUCCUGGAACUACAAACCAUAAAACCAGUUUCAGGUUUCAUAUACAAGAACUGAUGUUUUAAAGAAGUUAUUUGCUGUCUGACUAUCUUUAUGUACCUGAGACAUUGUCAAAGCUAUUUGAAAAAAAACUCUCAUUGGAGAAAGAUGCAUCGAGUACAGAACCCGGGCUAGUGUACUCACUGUUUGCAUUUCCAACGGGGCUCCACAACUCAUUUUUGCCUUUCCUCUGCAAGAAGCAAGAAGCAUAAUGAAUAAAGAGAUGGGGAAAUACUUAAAAUGGAAGUCUUCGGAGAUUAUAAACAUACCCGAUAAGCUGUUUCUGCGUAAGGCAUAUCGAUAUCUCGAUUAUAACGCUGCUCCAAAGCUAAAGAAGAUAGCAAUUCAUGGAGAAUCAAAGAGGCUGAUUUAUUGGGAAAAACACUUUCUCCUUUGGCCUCAUCUUCUUCCUGAGAAGCCAAUUCUUUCAACUUUUGCUGAAUCAACCCGAGAGUACCUACAUCAAGCGGUGGCCUUUUCGUAAAGGAUGGUCUUGGAACACGUUGAACUCCUUUUCUCUCUUUAGUUUCUCUACAGCAUUGGCUAUUAUUUCUGUGAAGUGAACCAAGUUUCAGUGAUGGAAAUGCAGUUUCAUUGCUACCGCUGGGGCCAUUACUAAAAGCGCAAGAGCAUUCACCAUCUAACCUUUUUGACACUGGACUCGUAAAGCUACUUCCUCGUCCGUGACCACUAUCACAAGCUAGCCUCCUCUUCCGUCCUGGCGUGCUUAAUACCGAUCUACUACUAGACUCCUCAACUCUAGUCUGAGAUUUUCUCUGCAGAUUCAAAUCAGAGUUUUCAAAUUUAACCGGGGACUUCGAGUGAUGACUCCUACUAGUUGAACCUCUAUUCAUAGCUAUAAAGUCCUUCUCUUUACAGUUGAUAGCAUUUGCAGGUGAAGAACAACCUCUUUUACUUGGUAAGGCAAAAGAUCGAGCUUCUGGAGGAAACCUGUCCUCCCUAUGCAACACCUUAUUAUGAUAAUCUCUGUUUCUAAAACCCGGCAGCGACAUUUCAUCCUUUCCAUGCUUCCCAUUGUAGUCAUAUCGAGCACGGUGUAGAGCUUUCCUCACCACUUGAUCUGUACUGUCUUCAUUUCUCCAAAACACAUUUCUUUUACUCCGUUGAAAUGGAGUUGAUUCAGAAACACACGCCACGCUCUUACCAGUUUCUUCAACUACCGGACUCGAACCAUUAACAUCAACCAAGCUACCACAAGCUUUACAAGAAGCAACAUUAUUAUUAUAACCACAUUGAAACUCAGGUGAAACAACUUCAACCGGCUCUUUCCCAGCAUUUUCAAACCUUCUAAACCCCGAAGAACCAGGAUAAGCAAUAGCGCAUUUCGCAUUUCUCUUCCCCGGUUCAAGAAUCCUAGCAGCAGCAUCAAUCAACCUAGAACUUCUUCUAUUCAACCUCGGACUUCUAACAGGAGAAGCCAGUUUCUGAUGCUGAUGAUGACUAUUAUACUGAUGAUGUUUCCUUACUCGAGUCAAAACAUUCUUGAUCUGCAACGCAUCAGAACCAAACUUCUUCACCGCAACACGCCUAUCACAAACUCCCGUUGUUCUCUGCAUCUUCUGUGGCCUUAACUUAUCAAAACCACUCUCUUCUUCUUCUUCCCCAUCAAACAAGUCACAUUUAUCGGUACCUUGAAUCUGCGAAAACAACUGUUUCUUCUUCUUGUUCUUCCCUUUGUCUCUAUGACUAGAUGGCAUUGAUUCAAGUCCCAUUAAACGUGCUACUAAACUAGGAGAUCUCAUUUCAUGCUUUUUAAGCUCUCCAACUUCACCUCUAUUUGGAAAACUUCCUCUGUUCUCAUCAUCAAUCUAUCAAUUCAACACAAAUACAGAAAAAAUCAACAAUUACUCAAAUCAAAAACUAAAGAUAUAAACUUUAACAUAAAGGAGACAUAAUCACCAGAUUAAGCUUUGACUUUAACAUCUUCUCAUUCCCUCCAAACCUCUUCGAAACUUGUUUUCCUGACACAACCAUAGAUAAACUCCUUCAUUACACACAAGCUCAACAACAAUCACUUUCAAACAUAAACUGAGACAGAGACAGAGACUAACCAGGAAGAAGUGAUUUGCGAGAAAAGAGUUUCUUUUUAGCAAAACGUCGAUUCCAAUCAAAGAGCUGGAAGAAAACACCGACACAACCACCAAGUCGGUUUGGUCGUUUCUCAGUUAUAGCCGCACACGGCGCCGUCGUCUCCUGUAACUCUCCCGUCAUAACGAAACCCUAACAAACCCACAAGCUCAGAGAUAUCUCAAACACAGUAAAAAAGUCUCCUUUAGAGACACAUUGUCUCAAAUUCCAUAACUUUAUCACAUAAUCAAGAAAGAAGCAAAAACCCAGAGAAAAAAAAAGAACAAAACUUUCUUUGAAUUCUGAUUCUUAAAAGAAAAAAGAAAAAGUCACUCAGCUUUUGUGAGUUUGUGGAAUCUCUCAGAGAUGAAUGUACAUCAAGAAGACAGUUGGAAAAUCAAGAAAACGACAAUGGUACUACAGUAGAAGAAGAAAGAAACAGAGCUUUUUUGGAAGAAUGGAAAAAGUUUAUGUGUCAAGAACUGAGAACUCAACGGGUAAAUAUUCGCAAUUGAGAGUUUAAAAAGUGAAAGGAGACAAAAGCAAAACGAUAGUGACGAGAAGUGAUUGAAAGAGAGAUGAGUAAAUCUUUCUGUUUUUUUUUUUUUUCUCUGUGAAAAUUAUUACUGUGAUUCUCUCUGUUGUCACUGACGGUGAAAGGAGCUCGAGAGAGAUUGUUACAGAAGAAAGAGAGAAGCAUGCGCACAAAAGGUUAAGUAGCUGAUACAAGUAGACUAGAGAAAAGACUCAAAAAAGAGAAACAAAAAUGGAGAUUAGUUUUGAGUAUAUGUUUAGAGAGUAGAGAUUAGAAGCGUAAAAAUGUGGUUCCGGACAAUAAGGGUUAAAGGUUCGAGGUUUCUGUUUCUCUCGUUUUUGAGGAAUCCAGCUUCAUCUGUAGUCCGUUUCUCAGUUCCAACUUUGUAUUGGUUUUUGUUCCAAACUGAAAUAAAAACUUAAGUGUUUUUUUAACUUUUUAUAACUAAUAUUGAUAAAGGAAAAAGAAAUAUGAUAUCAUGAUUUUUUUGUGGCCAAUCGAGUCAAGACAUGUGGACUACACUUCGAUUAUAACUAUUUUGUGUCAAAAGAAAGGAAAAAAAAGAAAAUAAUUUUGAAGAGGCUAAACAACGACCUGACCUUAUGGAUGAUGACCACAGUGUGAUGGGGUUUUAGAGGUUGUGGUACUAGCUUGUCUCCUAGGGCAAUAACAAAUAUAAUAUAGAGCUGCAAAAUUUUCGGUUAUAGGUGACGAAUCAGAAUUUUUUUUAGUCUAGACUAAAGUGUGUGUGAGGAUUAUCUAUUUGUUAAAGGACUUUUUUUACGUCCAAUUGUUAUGUUUAGGUUCAUGGACAAAAUUUUAUCAUUGUAUCAAGUGAUAGUAAGUACUCAAGGUGUGGAUUCACAAAAUAUCUAUGAAUUAGCGAAGGUUACGACCAAUAUAAUGAGUCAAAAUUGUCAAAUAAUAAUGGGAUCAUAAAAAGAACUUUCAAAGCUUAUGAAAUUUUCAUUAAAUUUUUAAAAUUUUCUUUUUCCAAAACUGUUCAUCAUGAUUUUCUUUUAAAGUAUAUCAAAUGGAUUCUCAGAAAUUAUCGUGCGAGUUACAAAUGGUUACGAAAAAAUCAUAUUUUAAUCGUUUUUGCAAGUUUCUAUAAUGUAUUAAGAGUUUUUUUUUUUGACAUCCCAAUAACAAUAAGGGUAGUUUGUAAGAAAAAUUUUGGAUGUUAUUAUUUUGGUAAUGGAUAAUUACAAAAUGUUUUUGCAAAUUGAAUACAAAAAAGACCAUUUACAAAUGUCUUUUUUUUUUAAUCAAGAGGUUCUCUAAUUCUAUGUGAUCAUAAAUUAGAGCAAGUAAAUUAGUCUCUUCUCCAAUGACAAGAUUUGAACAUAUAACCUAAAGUGUAAUUCAUUUGGAAGGUCCUUGGUCCAACCAAUAAAGGACUCCUAAAUUACGAACAUCAUUUUCUUUUAUAUAUAGUCGAGAUAUCAAAUAAGCUCGAUUCAGAUAAUCAGACGGCUCUAGUAAUCUGCUUUUGGGUAAGUGUAUAUCGUUCAAUAUUCACUUAGACUUUUUAUCAAGUACUAUAUGUGUAUAUGACUAUAUCCAACGUUGUUGCAAGUUUGUAUUACACUAAUCAAGAGUCAAUAGCUUCAUUAUUUGUAGACUUUAGUGUCUAGGAAAAAUGUAUAGUGAACUAUAUAUAUAAGUGGGUAAAGUAUAUACGGGAAAAAAGUUUGAAAUAUUAAGUGUAAUAAGACAGAAAAAGCAGAAGUUGCGUCUUUGUCCGAGUCUGACGAAUUCUGAGAUGUCACGGACAAUAACCCAUACACGCUACGAAUCUCAAGCAUUCCCCCACUUCUAUCUAAACACAGUACCAAUUAUUUUUCUUCUACUCAUCGAUCAUAUAUAUAUACACAUACUUCCAAAUAUAAAAAUAUUUGGUUAAGCUAUAUAUUGGAAAUUGUUAGUAACAUAACUGUUUGAAAAUUUCCAACACGAAACGAUGCUAAAGGAAACAAAAAAAAAAAAGGGAUCAAAUUUUGUCCGAAAAAUGAAGAAAAUAGGAAACCCAGUUUUACUAUUUGCAAAAAGUAACAGUUUGGCCAAGAUGAAACAAAACAAAAAUUCCUGGUGCUUUCUCUAGAAUACUGUGGUUUGAUGAAAACAUUAAACAUCUAUCAUGCAGAAAGUUAAAUAGUUUUCGUGACUUUCUUUUUUUUUUUGGUAAGCAGUUUUCGUGACUUUCUUAUCGAACAGUAUAUGAUGUUUUUUUUAUUGUAUAAAUGAUUAUAUAUAUUUUUUUUGAGCAAAGUCUAAUUUCCAUUAAACGUAAUUAGGUUUCCAUACAGAGAGAUAAAAGGGCCUCUUUUGCCGGCGCAUCGGCUUGGCAAUUUUGAGUGCGAGGAAUGUAAUUGAAAGGGCAAACAUUGAAAUCAAGAGAUAGAUAAAGGAUGUCGUGGAGAAUCCCGUGAAACUCCUUCUGUGGGAGUUUCGAAUUGAUAGCUUUGACUAGAAUCAUCGAGUCUGAAGCGAAAGAAACGUUGGUGAGUAUAAAUGAUUAUAUAUUACAAUUACAUGUUCAUAUUGCUUAUGAAUGUGUGUUUUAUAUUUGCUCAUAAUGAGAUACAUUAUACUAAUAUAUUGAUAAUGACUAGUUAAUAGUUAAUACGGAGAACCGAAAAUUUGAUUGUUGCCAAAGGCUAACAUAAAAACAUAUGAGAUAAUAUAUAAGAUAACAUAAUAUUUUAAUUUAUAGAUGUCUAUAUAUAAAGAACAAAUUAUUUUGAAUUGUGUAUGCAUCACAUGACGCUGAAUUGUGGAUACUAGAAAAAAAUAUUUUUGGUACAAGAGAAAUAUGACGUGCUGAAUUGUAGCUAGAUAAUUGGAAAAAUAGUUACUAUAAUAUGAAGAUAUAUAAAAUUAUUUUUCAGUAUAGCCGUUCAAUUUACGGACCUACCUUUUUCCAAAAUAUAUGUAGCAAUUUUACGAAUUUAUACACACAUACACUUUCAAUAUAAAUUAUUUUUUAGCUGUAAAUAGAAAAUUGUUAGUAACACAACUGUUUGAAAUUCCCAACUCGAAAGGAUUCCAAAAGUAACAAAAAUAAGUAGGGUUAAUGAGGAAAAUGACACAAUAUUUUUGUUAAAACGAAGGAAAUAGUAAGUCAAUUUUACUAUUUGCGUUAAAUAAUAAUUUGACCAAGAUAUAUGAACAAAAAGGAAAUUCCUGGAGUUUUCUCUAGAACCAUGUGGUUUGAUCAAACAUCAUGCGGAAAAUUAAACAGUUAUGGUGAUUUCAUUUUUUUUUUCUUUUGACGCAACAGUAUAUGUGAUGUUUUAAACUGUAUAAAUGAUAUAGGGUAUUUAUAAAACUUGACCACAAACAAUCCAUAAAUUAGUUCUCUCUCCUCCCUAUUUUUGACUCUACUGUAUACAUAUGUAAAUGACAAUAAUAUCCUUAACUAUCAACUAAUGUUUCUGUUCUUUUUAUUCCUCUCUUUUACUUCUCUUUAGUUCUCUGUAUAUAUGUACCAUUUUCAUGAUACCACAAUUGCACGACGGCAAGAUGAAAAUGAAUUCAGAAAAAAAAAACCACUAAAAACAAAUUUUGUCCUUAAAAGCAAACCGGUGAACUGUGUGGUUCACUUGUGACAGUGAUGGUAUUGAUUGACAAAGACGAAACAUAAAAGAGGGGAAUGAUAUCGUCAACGACAACGACGAUUAUUGUAUUUUUCCUGGUGACAGUUGCGUGUCGAAGUGAGAAUGUUCGAUUUGAUUUUGUGGUAGAGAAAGACGGUCAACAAUGGUGGUUUCAAUUUUGAUUUCGUGAAAGCUGAGGCCAUGAUGCGAUGGUUGUAAAUCAAGUUGCUCGUUUCGAAUCCCGUCAUAAUUGUGCAAUGAUGAAUUUGACAAUUGGGAUUUUGAUGAGGUUAAUCGAUCAAGAGAGAAAUGGGUUUCGUCGGGAUUGUCGUAUGUUUUUGGGUUUAAUUUUGCUUUGUAACUAACAAUUUAAUUAGCAUCGUAUAUAAAAAUGCUAACAUAUAAGUUAAACGUGAUAACUAGGUUAUCAGAAUAAAGAAAUAAUGCUAAUGUAUAAGUUAACGGCAAUAACUAGAUUAUUAGAGUAAAUAAACAUGUUAAUACAUAAGUUAACCGAUAUCAAUCAAAUAAUAAAUGAUUUAACAUGAUAAAUAUGAAUUUAUCACAUAACUUAUAACUUAUCGCGAUAUAAUAUAAUUCACAUUGUUGAUCAAUUAAAUAAAUACAAAAAAUUAAUGUCUCCUUUUUGCUACUAGUGAUGAAUAAGUGUUUCCAACGUCGGAUGAAUAGUUUUUACCGUGUUACUGUUUAAUAAAAACAUGUUAUUCAAAGCUAUAUCAACAUAAAAUAAUAUGUAUCAUGCUAAUCAAUUAGCUAAACUCUUUAUCUUGAUAUUUUUUUUGUUACCGUAUAAAUGUGAAAAGGGUAUUUUUGGCAUUAGUUUGAAGCAGAUGAAAGAGAACUAAUUAAUUAGUCUUCAAUGCCAGAUCUUGCAUUAUCUUUUCGUCUGUGGUUUAAUAUUUUGUUGACCCAAUGAUAUAUCUUAUAAUUACAAAUUUUGAUUGUUGCCAAAAUACUUACUUAAAAUAAUAUGGGAUCAUUUUUAUAGUAUUAGUAAAGGAAAUGUUAUUUAAGGUUAUAAAAAAAAGUUAUUUUAAAAUUCUAUAAAUUUUUGUAUAACAAGAUCCAUUUUUUGUUAUUUGUAGUGGAUGUAACUUGUCAACAUAUUUUUUAACCACAUCACUAAAUAAAAUCAAUGAAUUAAAAGUAAGGUUGCUAAUCGUUUGCCAUGUGACAUCCAAAUAAACAACAUUCGGUCGCAGUCAUUGAUCCUGCCAAACAAAAGCCCAUAUAAAACCAUUCUUGUAGUCUAAUUUUUGAAAUAUUCUUCACUUUUUUUUUUUUUUGUACAAAACAUAAUUUCAUUCAAACUCAACUCAUAGGUAGUACAAAGUUUAAACAGUCAUGUAAAAAGAGGUCCCUAAAGCAUGAUUCCAAGUCUCCAUCUACUAAUCGCCGGCGAGAAGAAUCAAGUUAGAUCCAAUUCUUAGUCGGCAAGAAGAAUCGAGAUGAUAAGAGAAGUGGGCCCGCAUAUUUUCUUAACCAUACGCGUUUUAUGGUUACGUGUCAUUAAUGUUAUUGGGUUCAGUUAAUAUGAGCUUAAAAUAGGCUUGUAUCAUGUUUGUAAUAUUCCCAUUUGGGUUUUCAUAUAAUGAAGUUAGGCCGACAAAAAAAAAAAAAAGUUUAAACAAACAUCAACCUCAUUGUUGGAAACAUCAAAGAGAAGUAGAGUAGACAAAACAAUGAUAUUCUUGAAAUAUAGUAGACAAUGAUGUGUGUCACAAAAGAAUCUGGUGAAAGCGAUAAGAAACUCAAAGACUAGCCAGCUCUCCAUAGUGUUCUAAUGGAAAUCACGGCAACAUGAAUAUGUUUCCUCCAAUUUUCGUUUGUAUUUCAGGGUCGAGAAAGCAAUGUGUGUCGAUGUUAUUGCUAAAAAAUGGCAUCUAAGUUUACUAUGUAUGAAGUUGUUAUAGAUGUUAGUACUCCAGACUGGCUUGUUACUGUCAUUGGAAAAGAGAUUAGGGAAUAUGUAUAAAGUAACCAUGAAACCAAAAAGAUUUAACAAACUAACCAUAGGCAACAAUAUUUUGUCGGAGAUGUAGAUGCAAUUACUGAAGUAAUCUUUUCUUUUUAUCUUUUUAUUUCUCAAUUCUUCUUCUCCAGAUUUCUGUAGUUUCAGCCAGCAGCCUCUCAAUUCUUCUUCUCUAGAUCUCUGUAGUUUCAACCAGCAGCAACUCCGGUCCAAUAUUUUGUCAGAAUCUCGAUGAAACAUUGAUGGCUUGUAAGGAUUCCCUGUCAAUCUCUCUCCCCAUUGCCUGGUUCUUCCUAUUUCUCUAACAUCCUUCUCAUAUUUUUUCCUUUCCCUCAUACCAGAACUAUGGGCUGACCAAAUUUCAGUUUCUCCUUAGAAACUCCACAGUUGCAGAUUCAUUUUUUGUGAAUUUUUUACGGAACUUCAUGUAAUGUUUUCUUAUGCAGCAAUAUCUUUGUUUUCAACAUGCUAUUUUUUUUUGCCAUGUAAAUUUCCAAUAUGUCAUUUUUUUUUUCCUUUUUUGACAUGCUAUUCAUUUCAAAAACACAUUAAAUAUUUACAAAUUUCAAGGUUUUUCGUUCGGAGGAUGCGCUUUUUAAUUUGAUUCAUGCAAUUUCUUAAAAUCACCAUGUAAAUUUUCAAUAUGUCAUGCUUUUUUUCUGUCGACAUGCUAUUCCUUUCCAAAACACAUUAAAUAUUUACAAAUUUCAAGACUUUUCGUUCGGAGGAUAUGUUUUUUUUAUUUGAUUCAUGCAAUUUCUUAAAACCACCAUAAUUUGUUUAUCUUUUCUUUGAUUUUCGCUUGUCAGAUCUUCUCCAAUAUCAUACUCCAUAACCACCUCUCUCACAUAAACCACCACCAUAUCCACCUCACGACGACCACCGCCACGAGAUCCAUAAUCUUUAUUAUGCCUUUUGCAUCCUACCAACGCCAUCUGAGCCUGGCCGGACACUGGAUCUCACGCCAAAACAAUGGUAUCAUUUCACACUGGAUCUCAAGCCAUGAUCUUAAUCGGAAUAAUCUCGGAGAUCAUAUCGUCGUAAGUUUCAUACUUGUUUAACAAAUGGUUUAUUUUGUAAAAACUAUGAUUUUACAAAGUUAAUUAGUCUUUUCUCUACCAUAUCCCACCACAUAAAAGUUACUUUCUUAAGAUUUCUAACACAUGGUUAUUUUUGUUAAUUCUUUCUCGGUCAAAGGCUACUUACUAAUAUUACCCAAGAGAUUAUGAUGACAUUUGUACUUUGCUAUCUAGUUUGAAAUACAAAUACAAGUAGAAUUUUUUGAGUCUAAGGAAAAUAUGAUUUCCAAAAUAUAUAAGAGUUUGACAACUCACUUUCUUUUUCUUCUUAUUACACAUGGAAAAGAUGUUGGGCUUAUGAGCACUUUCCAAGCCCAUCCAAAAUAGUAACCAACCAUUCAUCUAUAUCUACUAAAAGAUAAAUAACAAAAAAAAUUGGUCUCAAUUAUUCAAUUGGACUUGGUUCAAAGUUGAGAUUUGAAGGAAACCAAACCGGUUCUUCGUAAACCAAAGGGGUUUAGAGUGAAUUCGUGGAACCUACUUUUUUAUAUAUUCUCUCUGUUUCAAAAUAUAUGAUGUUUUAGGGAUUUUUUUUUGUUUUAAACUAUGGAUGUUUUACAAACUUCUAUGUAACUUUUAAAUAUAUUUGAUAUCUUAUGACCAUUUGUAUUCUGCAGUCUUUAAUAUCAUUGAUUGAAUUUUUUAAAAUUAAAUAUUAAAUAAUAAUUUUAAGAGAAAAAUAACUUUAUUAAAAUGUGUGUUUUUAACUCAAACAUCCUAUAUUUUAAAACAGAGAGAAUAAUAAAUUAAUCUCUUGUUACGCAUACAAAAAGAUGUUGGGCUUUGAUCUUACAAACCACAAAUUUUCCAUGCCCAUUAAUUUUUUGACAAUUGCUUUUUCAUUUUCCGAGAAUCCUUCAACUAGGCCUGUAAACGGAGCGGAUAUCCAUUUUUUUAAGUUAUCUGUAUCCGUAUAUGUGUCCGUAUUAUCCGCCAAUUUAGUAUCUGUAUCCGGAUCCGGAAAUUUUAGAUAUCCGGUAUCGGAUAUUUGUUAAAAAUCCGAAUAUCCACGGAUAUCCGCGAAUAUCCAGAAAUAGUGUUUUAAAAUCCUAAAAUCAUUAAUAUUAUACAUAAAAAGCUUAAAAUUUUUAUAAAAUAGCUAGAGGUUGAUUAUAUAUACAAAACAUUACAAAAACAAAGAAUUUAUUAAAAUAGGAAAAAGUAUUAAAAGAUUCAAGUGGUGUUCUUAAAAAAAUGACAUUAAUUAACUUCUUAAAUUCUUCUUAGAUAUUUAUUUUUAUUUUUUAUCAUAUGAUUUAUUUAUUAACAUUGAAAAUAAAGUAAAAACAAUUAAAAAUUUGGAAUUACAAGUUUUUUGGGCUUUAACACUUGAAAAAUGAAGUCAUAAGGCUUUUAAGUUAUAAUUUUUUUUUUUUUUUGCCGGAUAUCCGUUAUCCGGCCCAAAUUUUAGGAUUAUUCGUAUCCGUAUCCGUAUCCAGGAUAUCUGUCAUUUUACUAUCUGUAUCCAUAUCCGUUUUUGCCGGAUAUUCGUUUUUUCGGAUCAAAAACCGGAUACGGAUAUCCGCGGAUAACGGAUAUAAAUCUCAGGCCUACUUCAAACCAUUGGAGAAUUAUUCUUCUGAUUAACGAGAAAUUUUCGUGGAAUGUUGGUGAAAAUAUGCUUUAGACGACUAACUUCUCCUUGACCCUUAUAAAUAGAAAGGCAGAAAGCAAAACUAAAUACUUUCUCUAGAAACAAAAUUUAGAAUCAACAUAUUUUUUUUUUCGAAUGCCAUGACAAUCUUAGCUUAAGAAUUACUUUAUCUAGAAACUGUCAAAUUUUUAAGAUGGAUAAAAAAACAGCUUAAAACGGUUUCAUCAAUAACAAGAUUGGACCACAUGCUUUUUUCCAUGUACGUGCCAUAUGAACAAUUCAAGGUUUCGACCAACCUAACAUUUCUUUUUGGCAUAUAACCAACCUAGCAUUUUUUAAUAUUCAAAAGUAUGAUAUCUUGGUGUUGCAUGAAUUUGAAUAAUAAAGUUUAUAUAAUAUAUAUUAUGUAAUUAUUUCUGGUUUUGUUUGCACGUGGUUUUGGACUUUAUAUAUAUAUAUAUAUAUAUAUAUAUAUAUAUACGGUUAAAUACAUGUGUAUGCAUGAAUAUGUGUUAAUUAAUGAUAAUUGAACUCAACUCUCUAUAUUUGCUUAACGCCUUGCUUGAUUGAGGUUUAAUUAUUUCUUGAGCCUAGUAACCGAACCAACCUAGGAUUCGCCGAACCGAAAUCAAAUUGAAUUUCAGAAUAUAUCGAAUAAACCGAGCAUAAUAGCUGAACUCAAAAUUGGUGUAACAAAUCAAAUUGCACAAUGUCGGUAAAUUUAUUAAAAUUCAAUAUUUUUAUAGAAAUAUGAAAAAUACAUCUAAACAAAACGCCUACAAUGAUUAAUUAAAACGACUUAUUUACUUAUAUUUUCAUCAGCUUUUUCCUAAAAACUAAUCAAAUUUGAACAUAACCAAACCGAAUCGAAAUAAAAUUGGGUUCUAGUGUUGAUUUUAAUAUUUUUUUGUCAACAUCUUUUAUAAUGAAAACGGUUAAAAAUCCAAACCCAAGGAACAUAGUUUACAUAGCUAAUAUUUGAAAGCUUUUACAAAACUUAGAAGAUAAGAAUGGAGAAGAAGAACUUUUGUUAUUAUUAUCAACUCAACGUUUACAAUCGUAGUACAUAGACUAUAUAAAGACAAGGCUCUCUAAUGAUAGUACGCCAGGUGUCCUUAGCUGCACAUGAUGAGAGCAUCAAAUCUGUUAUUGAGGAAGCUUCUUGGAAGGCUCCUUUGCGCUGAGAGCACACAACUUUUGUGUGUUGGUUUUGGCGGUAACACCUGAGAAGACUGAGAGAUGGGCUUUGACUGAUCUGAGAUCGAGUGGGCUUGUGGUAAAGGCCCAACUUCGGUUUUGCUUACCAAAGCCAAAACCUCUGUUUGAGGCAGAGUCUUCUUCUCUUCAAUACACCCCCUCAAACUUGUUGUCGGAGGAUUGGAGACACCAAGUUUGUAUCGCAAGGAAAAGAACGGCUCCUGAGCAAGGGACUUCGUGAAUAUAUCAGCCAGUUGAUGUUCAGCUGGAAUGUGUUUGACAACAAGAGCACCAUGUGCUACUCUUUCCCGGACAUAGUGGAAAUCCACAUCAAAAUGCUUGGACCGUGAAUGCAGGGCAGGAUUGGCUGUGAGAUAAACUGCAGAGAGAUUAUCAUAGUACAUUUCAGGAAUCUCAGAUUCAGGAAUACCUAGAGAUUGAAGCAGAGCAGAAAUCCAUUUGAGUUCAGAGGCUGCAAAGGACAAUGUUCUGUAUUCAGCCUCAGUGGAAGACUUUGAAACUGUUGGGUGCCUUUUUGCAGACCAGGAGAUGAUGUUGGUGCCAAGAAAAGUGCAAAAGCCUCCAGUUGAUCGUCUAGUGUCCUGGCAUCCAGCCCAGUCACUGUCACUAUACGCUCGUAGAGUAGAAUCUGUAUUGGCAUUGAUGUCAACUCCCAUAUGUAUUGUACCUUUUAAAUACAUGAGGAUACGCUUAAGAAGAUGGAAAUCAGCAACAGUGGGCUUGUGCAUCUUUUGGCACACAAAAUUCACUGCGAAUUGAAUAUCUGGUCUUGUUAACGUCAAGUACUGCAGUUUCCCAGCCAAACUUCGAAAAUAGGUAGGAUCUUCAAAAAUUUCAUCUUGUCCAGAGACUUUAUCAAGCUGAAGUGGUAAUGGAGUAGGCAUUGGUGCACAAUCAAGCAUUCCAGCUGUUACAAGAAGGUCUUUAGCAUACUUCUCUUGAUUCAAAAACAAACCAUCCUUGUGAAAAUGAGCUUGUAUUCCAAGAAAAUAAUGUAAUGGACCAAGAUCUUUCAUACGGAACUCUUCAUUCAGACAAACCAAAAACUCUUGAAUCAACUGAUCAUUGUUACCCGUGAGCACCAUAUCAUCAACAUACAGAAGAAGGAACAUCAUGUCAUUGCCUUUAAUGUAGACAAAGAGAGAUGGAUCUGGAAGACUGCAAAUGAAGCCGAAUUUUAAUAGAUACGUACUGAACUUAUCAAACCAAGCACGAGGAGCUUGCUUGAGACCGUAUAUAGCCUUUUUGAGUUUACAUACGAAGUCUGGUCUGUUAGCAUCUUCAAAUCCCGGAGGUUGUACCAUAUACACUGUCUCCUCUAGAUCACCAUGCAAAAAUGCAUUCUUUACAUCUAAUUGCUUAAUGUUCCAAUGUUGAGUGACUGCGAGAUGAAGUACAGAGCGUACCGUAGCAGUUCGCACCACUGGACUGAAGGUUUCAACAAAGUCAACCCCUUCUUCUUGGUCAUAACCCUUAGCAACCAGUCUUGCUUUCAACCUGUCAAGACUUCCAUCAGAGUGUAGCUUUGUUUUAAAAAUCCAUCGACAUCCGAACACAUUUUCAGCCAUAUCCGGAGGAACCAGAUCCCAAGUAUCAGUUUCAUGCAUUGUAGACAUUUCUUCUCCCAUUGCACUAGUCCACCCUGGGUCUUUCAAUGCAGACUUCACUGUCUUAGGCUCAGGAUAGUUUUCUUUGACCGUGAACAAUGCAUAUUUAGGAUUAGGCUUAACAAUUCCUGCCUUUGCUCUUGUAAUCAUUGGAUGAGAAGAUGAUGUUGCAGUAGAUGGAUCAACAGAGGAAGCUGCUGAAGUACUUUGUUGUUGAAGUAAUGGAGGAAAGUCACUUUCAGUAAAGAGAGAACCACAGUCUUCUGUUGUUUCUGGUAUAACUGGAUGAGUAAGUGUAGAAUUUGUAGUUUCCACAGAUGAUAUAGCCGGUGGUGAUGAAUGAGGAAGCUUAGAUGUGUCUAUCCUACUCGAAGAAACAUGAGAGCUGUUGCCUAUAGAAGUAGGAUCAAAGCCUAUCGUACCCCCAAUACUCUCAGUUUCUUGAAUAGGAGAAGACACAGCAGCAACAUUCUGAGAAUCAAUAGCAGUUGAAACUUUGGUAUUACCAGACUGCCAAGCUGAAAGUAAUGGAGUAUGAGCCUGAGACUUGUAGACAUUAUACUCCUCUGAAUAGGGAAAACGAUUUUCUGAAAAUAAGACAUGUCUACUUAUAUAAACUUUACCAGAAGGAGGAUGAAGACACCGAUAACCUUUAUAUUUCUCAUUGUAUCCCAGAAAAACACAAUGGAGAGACUUUGGAUCAAACUUGUUAACACCAUAAGGACGUAAGUAUGGGUAGCAAGAACAGCCAAAGACUCUUAAAGAGGUAUAAAUAGGAGGCUUCUUAUGCAAAACUUCAUAGGGACUGACCUUGUUGGUAAGAACAGAGGAAGGCAGUAGAUUACCUAAGAAGUUUGCUGUGAAAAAGGCUUCAACCCAUAGUUCUUGUGGAGCAAAGCUUUGAAAUAACAUAGACAAACCCAGUUCUGUAAUAUGCCUAUGUUUCCUUUCAGCAAGACCAUUCUGUUGUGGAGUAUAUGGACAUGACAUCUGCUGUUUGAUCCCUGACUUUGCUAGAUGAGUGACAAAUCUUGUACUAACAAACUCACCCCCUCCAUCACAUUGAAAACUCUGAAUCUUUAGUUGUAGUUGAUUCUCAAUUAAUUGUUGAAAAGUCAGAAACACUGAAUAGAAAUCAGACUUGCUCUUGAGAGGAUAAAACCAAGUGAAUCUUGAAAAGUGAUCAAUAAAUAUAACAUAGUAACGAAAUCCUUGAGGAGAAACAACCGGAGCAGGGCCCCAUAAAUCACAAUGGAUGCGUUCUAAGGGCUGAGAAGCAACAUAAUUUGAAGAAACAAAUGGAAGUCUACUGAUCUUCCCUAACUGACAAGCUUCACAUAGAUGAGAAGGUGCCUUAUUCAUUACUAUAGACUUAUUGCUUGAUAAGAGUUGCAGGAUCUCACUGUGUGGAUGUCCAAGUCUCCGAUGCCAGACUGCUUCACUGGUUAUUUGUUGACGAUUUGAGUAGAAAGUAUCAUGAACCUGAGAAUCCUUUAGCACGUAGAGAUCAUUGCGUCUGCUCCCUUUCAUGAGGAGCUGUUUUGUCUGCAGAUCCUUUAUUUGAACCGAAUGUGCAUCAAAAGUAACAGAACAAGGAUAAUCAGCUGUUAGCUUGGAGACUGACAAAAGAGAUUUUUUGAUAGCAGGACAAACCAAAACAUCAUCUAGUGGUAAAGUACCUUUCAGAGUAGUAGAACCAACAUGUGUAAUAGGCAGAAAAUCACCAUUGCCAACUAUCACUGAAUCUGCCCUUGCAUAAGGUUCAACACUCUGUAAAGCAGAAGGAGAGUUUGUAAUAUGUGCAGUAGCCCCACUAUCAGAGACCCAUUCAUUACCUGCUGCAUACUCUUGAUCAGAAACUCGCAUUGCAUUCAAAGCCUGAGCAAUAUCAGUGUUGUAGUAGUCUUCUUCAAACCGAUGAUAACACUUGUAAGCAGAAUGUCCAAACUUCCCACAGAUUUGACAUGUAGGUCGGUUAUCAGCUUGAGAACCAGUGCUAAACUGCUGCUGAAAACCUCUACCAUGAGUUGAAUAGGAUCCCGAACCUCUACCUCCUCUGUUACCUCCUCUUGAUUGACCACGACCUCUGUUGUUACCAGAAUAUCCACCUCUAUUAGAGUAUCCUCCUCUAUUGUUGUUGGACUGAGAUGAAGAAUAUCCAGGCUUGUCAAAAUAAAAGGCCAGAUGUGGAGUAACUCCUGUUGCAGACUCAUAUUGUUGAAUCUUAUCAUCAAAGUUUGUGAGUUUAAACUCAACAUCUUCAAAACAUGGACCAGGAUAGGAUUCCAUAGAUUCUUCAAUCACAGUACUAAUGGACUCAUAUUCUUUCCCUAAACCAGUCAAUGCACCAGAUAUCUUUUCAUGUUCAGAAAGAGGAGCACCAAUAGAAUCAAGUUGAUCACACAGAGAUUUUAUUUCAGCUAAAUAAACAGCCAUAGUCUUGCCUACUUUUGUUGUUGAAUGAAUCUUCUUCUGGAGAUCUAACUUUCUAGUAGCAGAGACUCGGUUAUACUUUUUAGCCAGAGAAAACCAUACCUCUUGAGAUGAACGAAGACCAUACACACUCUUAAGAGCAGUUUCUGAAAGAGAUCCAAACAGCCAGGCCAUGACUAGCUGAUCUGAUUGUAUCCAUCUCACAAACUCUGGAUUGCUGAUCUCUGUAGCUUGGCCAUUGUUAUGAACCACCAGUGUUGGAGUCGGACGUGAAAUCGCCCCAGUAACAAACCCUAAAAGCAUCUGACUUGACAAAAAUUGCUCAAACUGUAAUUUCCAGAGCAAAUAGUUGUUGUCAGUAAGCUUUAGAGUCACACACUGAGAAAUGGUAACAGUAGGUCUAUAAAAGGUUGUAGCAUCAGAUUGAUGCUGAGCUUGAAAAGAAGGUGAUAAAGAUGGAGAUGGUGAAGGAACAUGAAAUGAUGGAGGUGGUGGAAGAUUCAUAGAUCCAGAAGGAGACUGAGAAAAGAUGACAGCUGCAGUCUGAGGAAUAAGAACUGCAGGAUUUGAGACUGGUUGAGAACUCAUAGAUUGAGAACUCAUAGAUGCGGAAGAAGAGCUAUCCAUGGCUCUGAUACCAUGAAAGCUUUUACAAAACUUAGAAGAUAAGAAUGGAGAAGAAGAACUUUUGUUAUUAUUAUCAACUCAACGUUUACAAUCGUAGUACAUAGACUAUAUAAAGACAAGGCUCUCUAAUGAUAGUACGCCAGGUGUCCUUAGCUGCACAUGAUGAGAGCAUCAAAUCUGUUAUUGAGGAAGCUUCUUGGAAGGCUCCUUUGCGCUGAGAGCACACAACUUUUGUGUGUUGGUUUUGGCGGUAACACCUGAGAAGACUGAGAGAUGGGCUUUGACUGAUCUGAGAUCGAGUGGGCUUGUGGUAAAGGCCCAACUUCAGUUUUGCUUACCAAAGCCAAAACCUCUGUUUGAGACAGAGUCUUCUUCUCUUCAAUAAUAUUUUGUGGACUCUGUUGAUUCUUUUAAGUUUUAACUAAAUUUUUUUAAAUCCAAACCGACUGAAGGAAAAACUGAAUGCCCAAGCUUUUUCUAUUGCAUGAUAGCAUGACCAAAGAAAGUAGUUGUAUGUCAAGCAUAUUGUCUCUUAAGUAUUAACGCCCAUGCAGUUGUAAAUUAAGCUAGAGAUUUUCGUCCGUUUAUUAUGCAUAAAUUUAAGAUAUGAAUACUUAUUUCAUGAUAUUCCAUAUCUAUUUCUACUAAAUAAACAGUCACUUUACUAAAAACUGCCACACUCUUCUUCUGACACGUGGCAAAACUUUCAAAUUUUGUUGUUUCACUUUCGUAAUCCAUUUUUCCUGAAUUUUUUGACAAAAAAUAUAUAAAAUAUCUUACCACUUUCUUUCUUAGUAACUUCUUCUUCUCUUCUUUUCCAUAACCUUAGAUCCUCCAUUCUUUCUUCGAAAUCCUCCAUUUUUUCUCAUAUUUUUUUUAAAUGAGAAGUCGAGAACCAUCCACUAUCUUUUAAUAUUUUUUUGUUUUAAAUCUAUAUUAAAAAAAUCCACGUUUUUAUUUUCUUCAUAAUCCACGAUCCCUAACACAACUUCAAAUCUCAAAAUCGUUUUAUUGCAAAUGCAGAUGUAGCAGUACUUACUUUUAAUGUAAAAACAGUUCCUAAUCAGGCCUCAAAAUCGUCCUUCAUGCUCGACCACGAGUAUAAUGCGUCCAUCAAUUCCCGGUCCAUCCUCGGCGUUUAUUCAAUACAAGUAAGUUUUGAAAACAAAGUUUGAAUUUUUGUUUUCCUUUCGUUUUUCAUUUCAUAUUCGUUCUUUUCUCCUUCUUUUUUUCUAUGAUUUUACUUUGCUUUUUAUUAGACAGCAAGAGAACAAAAAGUUUGGAUCCUCAAGCUUAGCUUCAAAGAAAUUAAAAUAUUAUUAGAUCCUCAAACCAUGAUUGGAUCAUCAAAUCAAGGUUUCAAUGAAGAAGUUAUUUUUAGAACGAAAUGGAAAGAGAAGCAUGUUCGGUUUGCUAGGAAAUUCGGAGAUGGAGCAAAGACUUUCCACAACCAGUAACGUAUAGAUUGACUUUUUAUAUUUAUAAUUAUGUAGUACGCUCACAAAGUUUGUCGUAUUUCAUCAAUAAUUUGUUUGUUUCAUAUAUUUUUUUUAACUAUAUAAGAUAAUGGAUUCAAUGCACUUCUAUUUUAAAAAAAAAAACUAAAAACAAUAUAUAUUUAAUUUUCCCAAAACAUUUUGAAUUAUGAUGUAAAUUAGUAUUUAUUUUAUCCAUGUAUAGCAGGGGCAUAAUAUUAGUUAUUCGUUAAUGCACCAUGCAUAUUAUAUUAUUCUUGAUUCAAAUGCAUGAAUCGAACAUAAUUAGUCUUGUUUAGCCCAUAUUAUACUUAAUCCAUGUGCUCCAAUCGGAAUUCAGUCGUAAGUUUCUUAAAGAACCUUUAUCAUCAAAAAAACUAACAUUAAUGGUUAUUUUCCAUACAUAUAAAUUGAAACAAACCUUAAAAAAAAGUUAAUCAAGAUUCAAACACUUUAUCGUACUAAAUUGUAUGUGGGUCUUACUAAAUUUAUUCUAUACCAAACAAAUCAAUAUUGCAAGAGGUUAAUUUAGUCCCAGAUUAACAUAGUUAGUAGCAAAUUUUUCAUGUAUAUAUGAAUUUUGUUGAAAGGGACACAAAAUAAAUAACUAAUAGAGAUAGGUUUAUCUCAUAAAAAGAAAAACUAUGAGGGAUAAUAUUAUCCCACAUUGGAAAGGACAAGGGAUCUUGACUAGUAUAUAAGAUAUAUGGGUCUCUCCACUCAUCGCCAAUUGGUUUUGAGUUGGAAGCCCAUAUUCUAGAUUGGCUCUAGCCAUUGAUCUCGGUAUGCUCGUGCAUGGAUCGUCGGGCAACUAUUGGUCGAUGGUGGAUUGGAUUUGGACAUGUACGGAUCGGACUCUGAUACUAUAUUAGAAUAUGGGCUUCCAACUCAAAACCAAUUAGCAAUGGGUGGAGUGACCCAUAUCCUUUAUAUAUUACUUAGGAUCUCUUCCAACUUCCGAUGUGGGAAAUUAUGUCCUAAUAAAAACAAGUAUCUUAAAAGAAAAGGGAAAAUUAGUGACAACCAGAUGAGAAUAGGAUUAAAGUGUUUUUAGUGUCCUACAACCAUGUGGCGGUUGACAUCGUCCAGAUUAUAAUUGUCAUCCAUACUUCCUUGUCUUAAAAGUGAUCUAAUAACAGUGUCAAAAUGAUAACUUCGUCUUCUUCUUCUUUUGUAUUAUAGGACAAUUGCGAAGAAAAUUCCCAAUUUUGUAUAUACAGUAAAACCUCUAUAAAUUAAUAAUGUUAGGGCCAUAAAAUUUUAUUAAUUUAGAGAGGUAUUAAUUUAUAGAAAGAUUUUCCUAAUUUGGUAAUUUCUUAAAAAUUACCAUCUAAAAAUAAAAAAUUUCUUUAUAAGCAAUAUCUUUUUUAAACCAAUUGUAAGUAGAGAAGCAAUUAUUAAGUUUAAAAAACAACACAAAUUUUUUUUAAUAAUAGAGUCAUAUUUCAUUAAAAAUUUUACAUAUAAUAUUUUAAAUAUAUAUCGUAGUAAUUCAUAUAUGAAAUAUAUAAAUUUAUAUCAUAUAUAUAUUAAGUUAAAUAUACAUAUAUAUAUAUAUAUAGGUUUAUAUAAUUAUUAAUUUAUGAUAUAGAUGGGACUAUACGUUUAUAUGAGAUUUUCAAAAAAAAUAUUAUCUUAUUAAUUUAGCGAGUUAUGUCAUAUUUUACAUUGGUCCCAACUCGGGACCGGAAGAAUUUAUUAAUUUAGAGAGGUUAUUAAUUUAUAGAAUAUUAAUUUAUAGAGGUUUUACUGUAUCUCAAGAUUAGUUUCGUUUUAUAGUAACAAAUGAAAAGACUUUGAAGUGUGACCUAUUUAAUAUGUGAUCAUCAUCGGUUAGCAGGCUAGAAAAAUAUUGUACUUAUGUAAAUUAAUUUUGCAUAUUAACUGUUGCAUGUAGUGAUAUAUGUAAGUAUGUAACUAUGUAAAUAAGGUUCCAAUAAGAAUAAAUUUAAGUGCAUGUCUUCAAAAAAUGAGUUCUUUUAAGUUUCUAUAAACUUGUCAGAAACUUAUUUUUUUCAAUCAUGCAACACAACUAAUAAAGUUAUAAAGAAAAUAUGACUGGACCAUUAGAUAGCUAUCGACUUUUUGAAUUAUUGCUAAAUGCUCUAUCCUUGAACAUGUAAAAUAUAUAUAUAUAUAUAUAUAUAUAUAUAUAUAUAUAUAUAUAUAUAUAUAUAUAUAUUUGUGGCUAAAAAUUGUUGAAAUCAAUAAUUUGAAUGUGUAGAACCUUUUUUCAGUUUUUUUUUUCUUGAAUUAUUUAUAUACUUCUUUGAAAGUACAUAAAAAAUACAGUAUCCUAAAAUAAAACGAAGGAAAUAUAAGAUUAUGUGUCACGGUUAAGUAGACCGUAUUAAUUAGAGUUUGUACCGGUAAACCGGAUGUGGUUAUUUCACUAUAUAUUCUCUACCACAUGUAACAGAUCAUUUGUGAGAAAUACAAACUUUUAUCUUUUCUUCGAUUUCUCACGAAUAUUAAUAUGGUAUAAGAGCACAAUUCUUCCGUUUUUCGUCGCAAAUUCCGCCAAUUCUUCGAGUUUACUUCAUUAUCAUCUCCAUCAUCGAUUUCAUCCAUUUCCACCAAUUUUUCUUCGUUUUCUUGAAUUUUUCACUUUUCCGAUCAAAAUCCGCUGAAUACGAUGGUUGCUGUUCACAAUUUACCGCGUCGUACUCUGUGAUCACGUCGUUCAGAUGAAAGAACUCCUCCUAUACGCGAAUCAACUCCGGCUUCAUCGCCAGUGGCUCAUAAUUCUCCGAUUUUCACUCAAAUGGCUUCCGAUCCUCCGAUUGAUUACACGGAUUUGUACUCUCAUUAUGCUUUGACGAGUGGAGACAAUCCGGGGAAUGUUAUCAUCACCGAGGUAUUAGAUGGAACCAAUUAAUCUUCUUGGACUAUCGCUAUGUCUGUUGCACUCGAUGCGAAGAACAAAAUGGCUUUUAUCGAUGGAUCUCUUCCUCGACCUCUUGCUACAGUCACUAGUUUUCGUUAUUGGUCUAGAUCAGUGGCGGAGGUAGGGUGUUAGUAGGGGGUCACUUGACCCCCAUAACUUUUAGAAAGUUUUGUUUAUUAGGCUUAAUUAUUUGGUAUUUGUUAAUAAUUUUGUUUAAAAUGUUAAUGUUGACCCCAUUAACUUAUCUUCAAAUCAUGUUUUUGCACCCCUUUUAUUAAUUUUUUUUUCUAUUGACUCCUGUCAAAUUUAUUUCUGGUUCCGCCACUGGUCUAGAUGUAACAGCAUGGUGAAGUCUUGGAUCUUGAACACUGUGAGUAAACAGAUCUAUAAGAGUAUUCUUCGCUUUGAUGAUGUGUCUGCAAUUUGGAAGGAUAUUGUCCCACAUUGGUUGAGUUUGUGAUUUUUGGGUAGUAUAUGUGUUAUGGCAAUCCUUCUCCUUUGAGCUAGCUUUUGGGUGUGAGUUAGGCCCACACUAAUAUGGUAUCAAAGCCCAGACCUAAUUCUGAUUGUGGACCACCCGUGGAUGUCUACUCCCACAAACUUCACGCUUCAGAUAUCCAGUCUUGAGCGUGAAGGGGGUGUGAGAAUAUUAUCUCACAUUGGUUGAGUUUGUGAUUCUUGGACAGUAUAUAUGUGUUGUGGCAAUCUUUUUCCCUUGAGCUAGCUUUUAGGUGUGAGUUGGACCUACAAUAAAAAAAAUAGGAUGCACGUAGACAAAUUUACUCUCUACUUUUAAAAAAUGACUGGUCCAUGGAAGUUGCUUAGGUAAGCAAAAAUAUUAUAUUAACGUUUGUUAUUACUUGUAUUAAAAACUAACAACUAAUAUGUGUAAUUAUAGUAUCACAUCCAUAGGUCAAUCUGUUGUCUACACUCAUUUAUACCAUUUGAAACUACUAUCCACAUUUAGACUAACUUGCGAAACCGUUUUGUUUUUGCAUCUAACUUGCACGCAUAUGUAUGCACUGGAAAUUUUAAAAAUUCUACACAUAAAGUGAAGGACUACGUACACCCUUUUUUCUUUAGACCAUCCAGCCAACAAAACUUCCCUCCAACAUAAAAGCAUAUGGUAUAUAUAUAUAUCCUAUUGAAAUAACAGUUGGAUGGUGCCAUCAUUGUUUACUUGACUCUUGACUAUACCUUUCAAAACAUUACUAAGCCUUUGAAAAGUCAGUUUCAUCGCAAUCAGAUUUGGUGUUCAAGAUCGAGCCAUUCCUAAAAACUACCUAAAAACCAUGUUGAAAUAUAUAAAUUUAGACAUAGUUGUGGUCAACAUAUUUUACUAAAAUUACAAAAGAAGUUUGUAGGAAUCGUGUGAACUAACUAAAGAUUGUUACGGCCGGUAAAAUAUAAAAAUUAUAUUCCUUAUUAGCAAAUUUAAACCGUAUAAUUGAAGGAAAAAAAACGUAGAAAACAAUAAAGGAAUAAUUGGCACGACGUUAAGCUUAACUUUACAUGGAAUGAUAGAGAGAAAAGUAGAGAUUUCACAUCAAUUAUUUCUAUUUUUUCCUUUUUCUUUGCAUUGCUUUAGUGAUAAUUCACAUUAAUUGGCAAUACACACCAUGUGAGAAAUAUUCAAAGGAACAGAAUAGGACAAGCUCCAAAGAUAAUUGUUUACCUGUCACUUGUCUUGUCCCACUUUCUAAUUGUAUUUGAUAACUCUCUUAUCAUUGUUUUCUACAGUUUUAUCAUUAGUUAGUCACUAUUAUAUUACCAAAAUUAGUUUAGUAAUAGAUUAAGUCAAGGUUAUAUAUAUUCCUAACUACUAAAUGUACAAUAUUAGAUUAUUCAAGUAAACGAAUCAAUUUAAGUUCAUUGAUUAAAAACUUGGCAGGACACGGCCGGCUGAAACCUACCACCCCUACUUGAUCCACAAUCUUUGGUAAGAUAAGACUAAUUAAACCCAUGGGAAGAUACUAAUUAAUUUUGUUUUUCCUUUUAAAAAAUUAUUGAUCUAAGUAAGGUUCACAAUCUUUGGUACUAAGAAAAUUAAUUUAAGUUGGAAAUAAAAAUUAGAAUGAUAGUUAUAAUAAGUUAAAUAAGUUUCGAUAUAAACAAUCAAAACAUGUUCAAAUAACAAAAAAUAUAACUAUAAAUAUUUAACUUUUUAUAUCUAUUCUAUAUAACAAAUAAGUGCUUCAUCUUCAAUGAUACCAAGAAAAUAUGAUUGAAUAUAGGUUAAAACUUUAUUUAAUUCCGAUGUAGUUAAUUAUCUCAUCCAUGUACUAAAACUCUUUUCUUUUGUUAUCUCUAUUGCUCUCAUUGUAAAAUAAGUAGUAUUUAAACAAGAAUUACUAAAAUGAAAAACACACACCUAAAUCACUUAUAUUUUUUUUUCUGUUAAGUACUCCUAAACUAUUUAAACAAAUGCACAUAAAUAUCUUAAUGGUGAUAGUUUAUCAAUAAAGUAUCUGAAAUUAGCAUCCUCUUAUUAAAAACAAAUCUAAAUUUUAACAUUAAAAAAAAAAAAACACAAACUAACAAAUCAAACAAAACACAAUUACACCACAAUAGUCUAAAAAAUAAUAAUACUGGCAUGGGAUCCACAAAACACACUGUCAGAAAAUCUUCAGAGUUUCAGAGAACAAGAAGAAGAAGAAGAAUAAAACAGUAAAACCAGAAAACAUAUCUAUUCUUACAUUUUAUCUCUUCUUGUUCUUGUCUCUUCCAUUACCAGAAAACAUCGAACCAAAACCAAACAAAUUCCCAGAAGGAACAACGUUUAUAACCGGACUCACUCUAAUCCCACCACCUCCAUGACUACCAUAACUAUAACCUCCAUAGCUUUUCUUCAAUGGUGGUUUCGAAAAACCAUUAUUACUCAACGAAGACGAAGCAGAGGAAGAAGAAGACAACGAUGAAGAUUGUUGUAGCUUCACAUGUUCGUUGUGUUUCCUUGAGCUGCUCUGUUUUUGUUUACUCGACGUUGAACCGGUUGAAUUACUCCGGUUUAGUAACGGUAACGGACAUAAACUCCGACCAUAAGUACUUCCACAGUUUAAACUACUGCUUCUCUUAAACCCCCAAAACGACUUCGUAUUGGUUUUCUCCUCCGUCGUGAUUAUCACGUCGUCUUCUUGUUGUUCUUCGUUUUGUUUCCUCUGUUUUCUUGAAUCUGGUUUAGUCUUAACCGGUUUUGUAUCUUUCGAUUCGGGUUCUUUUUUUCCCGGUUCUGGUUUUUUCUUGAUUUCUGUUGGUAAGAUUUUGCCGUUAGAGAAGAGUUCAUCAGCGGACCAAGAACCUUGAUCGAAGCUUUCGCCGGAAUUUACGCCGCCGGGAAUGCAGAAAUCGAAAUCAAUGCUUGAAUUGAGGCUUGACGGUUUAGAGUUUGAUGAUCUUAAGGGACGUUUCUCGAUUGGUAUUGCGUCUGAUUGACAAAAGUCACGUGAAAAUGAGAUUCUUGGACUCAUAUUAGAAUUUUCCGAUAAAAGAUCCACCGCCAUUUUCUUGAAGAAGAAGAAUUUGAAAGGUUUUUUUUUAUAUAUAGUAAAUGAGAAUUUAUGAAAACGAAGAGAUUUUUUUUUUUAGUUUCUGGAGAAAAAGAGGAGAAGGAGAAUUUCGAAGAAGAGAGAAAGAGAGAGAUUUGGGGAGGAAGGUGAAUUUAAUUAUUUUUAUAGGUGAUUUUAAAGAAAAUGAAAUUAGGAAUUAAAAUGAGAAAAUAAUGAAAUUUAGAAUUUUUUUUUUUGUGAAAAAGAGAAAAAGGAGAAUAAAAAAUGGUAAUAAAAGAGGGGACAAAGAAGCGUGUCGUUUGCUACAUAUUCACAUGCAUGGGCCAAAAAAUGGAUAUAUGUUGGUUCUUCACUUUCGUACCUUUUUUUUUUUUCGAAUGGUCUAAUUUUUUAUGUAAAAUAUUGAAACUUUUGAUUGAGAUAUAUUGAAACUUCUGUAAAAAAAAAUUGUUGAAGUCAAAAGACAUGGGCAAAAACUGCAAUGUUUGAAAUGUUUAGAGAGUAAAAUGUUCAGAUUCGUGUUGACCAAUCUGAUGAAGCAGUGAAUAUAGACCAAUGGUGUAAAGUUCACCGACCCAAGACUUUAACAACACAAUUACUAAAUUUGUCUAGGACAUUGUGAAGUUAAGGAGAUAAGUUUGUGGUAAGAGGUAUAAAGGAGAGGAAAAAAAAAACUAAAUUGUUUGGGUAUUGUUCAUGCAAGAUUUUUUUAAAUCGUCAUGAUGCGAGUUUUUUUUUUUUUAAUAAUUGUUGUGGAUCGUUUAUUGGAGAAAUAAAAUAUAUUUGUAUUACAGAAAAUAUAACCAACCAAAGUCAUUUAGACCACUAGGACAAGUGUGAUGUUUUCCGAAUAUCUCUUCUACAUUUAAGUAAGAAAACGUUUAUUCGAUUUUUGAAAAGCAAUGCUUUCUAAGUUGUUUGUUUAGUUCGGUCCCUUUAGUUUUUUGGGGUCAGUUUUAUGUGUAAGAAUUAGUCUUUUAUGUCAAAUUCUGGAUUUGGAUUCUCCAUUCUCUUUAGGUGGAAUUUUGUUUUUUUAAAAAAGAAGUAUUUAGAGAGUUUACCGAGUUUGGAUAUCGGAUCACCAUAUUUCAGGGUAGAUGGAUCAGUCACUUAUCGAUCUUUCGCAUAGUUCGUAAGUUUGGUGACUAAUGACUCUAAAGCACGUUACAAAACAUGUGUUCGAUAAGUUAGGGUAAUAUAGCAUCGCUACUGCUUUAUACGAGAAUGUUGCAUCCCAUUGAACAUUUACUUCACGUUUAAUAAGGUCGAGCACUAGCCAUUCUUCGAAUUUGAUGUAUUCAGGAUGAUAUUUACAUAGGAAAUCAGUUACCAGAAAGUCUUUUUGCAUGUUUGACACCCAAUUAUCACAACCUGAAAUGUUGGUGCUUUUGAUUGAAAUUUACCCCAACAAUAUUGUUACUGCUAAAACUAUUAGUUGAAGUUAGCCAAAAACAUUCAACAACCUCAAUUAAUUCGAUAUUUAAACAUUUUGAUCCAACCAUUUAUUUGCAAUGACUAUACCGACCUUACUGAACCGUACCAACUACAUUUAUCUACGAUGCUUUUUAUGAGUAUUGAAUUAGGAGCUAAACGAUACAAAUGUUGCUGUCUUAUUAUUCAGUUUUUAAAUUAUUAACCUAGUUUGUUCUUGUCUUUACUAAUUUAGAAUAUCCGUUUAUUUUUAAGAUUCUCAGUUUAGGUUUAAUUUAAUGGUUAGGUGAGAAAUUAAUUAUAAGUACAAAAAUCAUAAUAAAAUCAAUAAGGGUGGCAUUGUUGAUGAUAUUUACCUCCAAACUAAUUUAUAAAAGUCAGACACAAUUGUCAAAUUUAUAUAUCAAGAACAUAGUUUUCUUUAUAAGUAGACCAUAAUACAAUUUCGUUGUUAUCCACUUUUGUAAAAUAUGAAAUGUAUAUAUCAAAGAUUUGUUUUUUUUUUAAUUGUCGCUAAUUGUGCGUUUUUGUUCCUUUCAAAUUUGGAUUAUAUAUUUAUUUUCUAUAUAUAUAUAUAUAUAUAUAUAUCUUAUGUAUAUAAAAAAUUUAUUUUUGAUAGAGAAAUGAACUUCUUUGUAUUCUAAUAGAUGGCUCUUUUGUGAAAGAAAAGUCUAUAAUUCUUUAUUUAUACUCUUUCUUUAUUUAAUAUGAUGAGUCAUGCAAGUUUGCUUUUCAUAAAAUUGAAAUCGAUUUUUUCUUAAAUUUGAAGUAAAGAAAUUGUUAUAAGAUAGAAAUAAAGAAAGGGGAAAAGGAGAUUUCACAUUAUCUAGAAAAUAAAAGGGAAUUUUAAAAAUUAAUUAAAAAAUUUGGGAAUUAUAUGAAAAAAAUAGAAGACAAAGUAAGCAUGGCCAUGGGUCCGAUGGCUACGUAUUUACCGAAAACGAAGAAUCCCACUAAGGGAAGUGAAGGGUUAAGAGAUGGUCCACGUUUCCUACUAAAACAUUUUCCUAUCCAUUUGGAUCACCCACGAGCCCACCUUGAAACCAACCCGACCCGAUUCGACCCAACCAAGAAUUGCCUACUUUGGCUGCUCUCGAUAAUACUAACAGGAACUUGUCCAAUUCCGUUAGGGUUUGGUUAUGAUGACGGACCCAAGAAAUAUCGGAUUUUUCUGAUCCUAGUAAACAAUAAAGAUGGUCCAGUCCGACAAAUAGCAUUGGUGAUGUUUUUUGCUGACAAUUACCGAACACUAAUAAUAAAACUGCUUUUGUUUUCUACAUAAAUUUUAUAUAUAUAAGAAGAAGAAAGCUCUCCAUGUUAUGAUACUUGAGCAUCCAAAAUGAAGAUAGACAUAAACAAUCAAAAUUUGUCUAAUGAAAACUUAUUAUUAUUUUUUUUUUCAUCUGAAAACUUAUUAUUUUUCUCCAAAAUUUGAAGUCUAUUCAUCUUCCUUUUUUUUCUUCUAAAGAAACGUUACAUGUGUUUUUUUACAGAAAUAUCUAGCUAAUAGAUUACAUAGUACUAUUUAAUAUUUAUAUACCAUUUAAUAAUCUUAUAAAAAAUCUUUGAAUAAAGUAGUUAAAUAAUUUGGUAAAGUAUAUAUUUACAUGAUCACAUCUAUAAAUACACAAAUCACGUAUAAGUAUACUCCCUCUAUUUCACAAAGAGUGUCAUUCUACCAUUUUUCACACAAAUUAAGAAAACUAAACAAAUGUAAUUUUUACCCCAUAUUAAUACACUAGAUAAUACCUUUUAUAUAAUUAAUAAGCUGAAAUAGUAGGGAUAAAAAGAGAAUUAAUCUUAAAAACUUCACUGAAAACGUAAAACGACACUCUUUGUGAAACAAAUUAAAACCUUAAAACGACACUCUUUGUGAAACGGAGGGAGUAUUUGGAAUUUCAAAUUUUGUCACAACAUCAUUAACUAAAUGUUUGGCACGAAAAUUUGUACCGAACCGCAAUAUACCACAUAUGUAAACAAUGUUUCCCAAAAUUGGUUCUUUAAUUUUGAGCUAAUCAAUUAAAGUUGUUGACAAAAAAAAUUAUAACUAAAUGAACUACAUAAGCCAUUAAUAAUAAUUAUGAACUACAGAAGAUAUAUAAUUAGGGAAAAAUAAUGAUCAAAUGAACUGAAUUAUAUAGAAUGCUCAUGAAUUGGUAUUUUUAGAAUUGAAACACAAUGAAAGUUAUAUUCUUUUUCGAAAUAAUUAUGUUUUUAAUUAUACAACAGAAGAGAAUAUAAGGCGGAUUAGGCUUCGGUGACUUAUUAUCAUUCAGAAUUUUUUUUCUUUUUUGUUAAAAUCUUUUAUCAUUUUGAGUAAGCUCUCUUAGCUAAUCAAGUUUGGAAGCUACAUCAUAGACCAACUAGUUUCGUAUACAGAGAUCUACACGGACACUACUUCUCACGAGGGACGUUGUUAACGGCUAAAGAAGGAUCAUAAGUCACAACCAUCUUAUGGUUGGACCUCCCUUCUAGGAGGUCGUGGUGUGCUACUUACUGUGGCUCAAUGUUAUAUAGGCAAUGGUAGAAGCAUCAGAUUGGGUCAGGAUACAUGGCUCCCGACAAUGCUAUAGACUACCUCCACUUAAUGUUGAUCCGAACUUACCACUUUCAAGUUCUACUCCACACAAGUACGGAACUCUGGAAAGAGGAUAUGCAUGCAAAUCUAUGUCUCAAAUGAACAUAAUGAGGAAUCUUUUUCUCUCAUACUAUAUGUGAAUUUGGAGAGUUUCAGAAUAUAUUUAAAUCCAUAAUCAGAUUAUAAUUUACACUCACCGAAUCCAUGAUAAGAUGUCGGAGAAACAAUCGAUACUUGGCAAAUAGAUUAUUAUUCACAUAAAAGAGAGACAAAAAAAUAUUGAAAAGAAUUUCAGAAUCCAUGUAAUUUUACAUCAUAUUUUCUGGACAAAUGUGUUAAGUUAUUGCUUUUUCUAUGUGAGAGUCACUAAGAAAGUGUUUACCUCUAGUCUAAGAUUCUGAGUUACACAUGGAAUUGUAUGAAAUUGGACAUCAAGAGAAUGAGUUACUAAAGUGAAUUCCUCCAAGUCAAUUGAAUAAACAGCCAAUUCAAGAGAUUAUAUACAUACAAUGAUGGUGAUAAAAUCUUUAUUGAAAAGAAGCUCAAUUAUAUAUCUAUACAUGAAGUUCUUAUGAAUUUGUUUGCAUAAUGUACUUCUAUAGGAGAAUUUUUAUACAAUACUGUCUUUAACCACCUCCAUUAUCAGAUCACAAGUUCCACUCUAAGAAUCCAUUGAAUUAUAUACCUGAGAAAUGUGAUAUCAAGAGAAAAUUGCUUAAACUAAGUUUCUGGUCAAUGUAUGUAGAUAAUUCUGUUCUGUAGGAGAGUUUUUGUAUCAAAAUAUGUGUUUAACAGAUUUUCAAAUGAUUCAUACUUUUUUUAUAUCCAAUAUUGAUGAAGAGUUACUCUGAUAAUCUUAAAAGUAGGUUAUGUAAUGUGGGAACAUGUUAAGAAAGAAAUAUUGAUCUCUUUAUUCCUUAACCAGCGCAUAGUACAAUAUUCAUGGAGAGAAGACUAGAACACAAUUUCUAGCUUCAGCUCUCAUCAAUCUCACAUGCGAGAUUUUGUACAAUCAAUUGCAUAAUAUAUCCUCUCUAAAAAAUGAGAGAUCCUAUCUAUACUACAACUGUAAAAAAUUUUGUUCAAAGUAAUUCGUAAUUAGUCAAUUUUACAUCCAUCAAUUUAAAUAUAUCUCUUAACGUAUAAGACAUACAUAAUAAAGAAUAUCAAUGCUAAACAAGCUCGCUGGAAAAGAUAAGAACACUACUAUAUAAAGUAUAACCCAAAGAUGAUAUAUGGAUUUAGCUAGACGUGAUUCUCCUCAAAGCUAGGGUAGAAUUUCUCGGAAGCCAUGUUUAAUGGAACAAUCCUAUUUCUUAUGAGAUAUGUUUUUCAAGUUUCCGUGCACAUUAUUUGGAGAGAACGAAACAAGAAACGACAUGGCAAACAACCCACCUUACCGACAAUACUUAACCAAGUCAUCGACCACAUAGCUCGAAAACAAAUAUCAUCUCUUCUCGACUUGAGCUCUAACAAAUUCGAGGACGGACUUCGUAUAAUUUGGUUUGGCUCUAGAAAUUCUCAGGGAAUCUUUCUAAAAAAGGUUACAUUCAAUGUAAAAAUGGUUUUUUUUUAGUGAAUAAAAUUUACAUUCAUAUAAAAAAAAGAAUUUUUUAUGUGCUUAUUUUAUAAAAUUCUUCUCAGUAUCACAAGACUUCAAAAAAACAUUGUCAAUUCAUACAAAAAUUUCUUUGAAAAUUUUGAUAGGAUCAAUUUCCUACCACUUUUCUACAAGGUUGUCACAGAAUAAUUAUUUCGUAGAAAAAUGGAAAGAAAGUUUUAGAGAAAAAAGUCAUAGAAAAUUUUCUACGAAACUCAUACAAAAUAUAUAGCCGUAGGAAAUUUCGUAAAAAAUUGGAAGAAAAGUCAUGGGAAAGGCAGUGGUAGAAAAUUUGAAGGAGCAACUUCUUUCCAAAUUCAUACGAAACGUUUCUCGUAAGAUUUCGAAUAAAUCUAGUAGGAAAUUCGAAGAAAAAUCAUGGGAAAAAGCCGUGGUAGGAAAUUCGAAGGAGCACCUCCUUCCAAAUUCCUAGGAAAAGUUUUUCGGAGGAUUUCGAAGAAAUCUCAUAUGGAAUUGGAAAUGGUCAUGGGAAAAGACAUGGUAGGAAAUUCGUAGAAGAAAGUUCAUUCCAAUUUCCUAUGAACUGCCUCUCAUAGUAUUUUUGAAGGAAUGUGGUAGGAACAUUAUACCAACAAAUUUUGUCGUAGGAAAUUUCCUACGACAAAAUUUGUUGGACAUUUAUAAACAUGUGAAAAAAUGAUUGUCUGCCAAAUAGGUGGAUAUGGGUAGGUUGGUGUAAUAGUAUAUAUUUUCAAAGGAAAUAGGUAGGUAAUCUAUAGAAAAUUGAAACUCUUUUUCUUAAUAUAAACUCCAUUCACAUUCGUUAAAAUUACAACAAAAACAAAAAUAUCAUCUACAACAAAACAAUUUUCAUUCCAAAAAAACUAAAAAACAUUUCAUACAACAAAAAACACAGAAUUAAUUUCUAUAAAAAAAAAUACCAAAAAUAUUCUAUAUGCUCGAAUAAAAAAAAGCAUCUUUUUCGGACAUGGAUAGACUAGGAAAGAUUUGCAUCUAACGUGUUAUUUACGACCAAGUAUACGGCAUGCCUCACCGAAUUCAUUACCCUCACAAUGAUCAGGAGUCUUGCUUAAAAAGUGGUAGGAUGUUUUUUCCUUAUCUAAUAUAUGAUAAUAAUGCAUUUGUCAAUAAAACUUUAGUGUGGUCACAUUUAUAUAGAGACGGAAUUAUGCAGAGAUACAAAAUCUGGUGUUAUCACUGGGAAAGUGAUACAUACCAUGUGGGUACUACUAGCGAAAAUGUCCCAGAUAGGGUAGAAGAAUCUACAUUCGCAGAAGAGGCGGUAGGUACGGUUCAAAUGGUACACAAUUUCCUAAAUGCAUCGUGAACCAUUUGAACCGUACCUACCUCUUCUUCUGCGAAUGUAAAUUCUUCUACUCUAUCUGGGAUAUUUCCACUCGUACUACCCACGUUGUAUGUAUCACUUUCCCCGUGAUAACACCAGAUUUGUAACUCGACAUAAUUUUGUCUCUCUAUUUGACCACACUACAACCUUAUCGCUAAAUGCAUCACUAUCACAUAUUAGACAAGGACAAAACAUCUUCCCAUUUUUUAAGCAAGACUCCUGAUUCAUUGUGAGGGUCAUGGAUUCAGUGAGGCUUGAUGCAUACUCUGUCUUCAGCAACACGUUAGAUGCAAAUCUCUCAUUUUCUAUCCAUGUCCGAAAACGAUGCAUUUUUUAUUUAACAAUAUAGAAUAUUUUUAAUAUUUUUGAUAUGAAUUAUUUUUGUGUUUUUGUUGUAUAAUUUUUUUUGUUUCUUUUUGGAAUGAAAUUUUUUUGGGUUUUUCUUUCUGUAGAUGAUGUUUUUUUUUUGUUAGAAUUUUAUCAAAUGUGAAUGGAGUAUAUAUAUCAAAUUUUAUACAGUUUGCCUACCUAUUUUCUAUGAAUAUAUAUAUAUAUAUAUACUAUUACACCAACCUACCAAUAUCCACCUACGUGCGCGACAAUCGUUUUUUCACAUGUUUAUAAAUUCUACGACAUAUUUGUAGAUAAAGUUCCUACCGUAUUCCUUCAAAAAUGCUACGAGAAACUAUUCGUAGGAAAUUGGAAGGAACUAUCUCCUACGAAUUCCCUACCAUGGCUUUUCCCAUGACUUUCCUUCCAAUUUCCUAUGAGAUUUCUACGAAUUUCCUACGAAAUUUCUUCAAAUUUCCUACCACGUUUUUUUCCUAUGGCUUUCAUUCUAAUUUCCUACUAGAUUUCUUCAAAAUCCUACAAGAAACUUUUCGUAGAAAUUUGGAAGGAAGUUUUUCAUUCGAAUUACCUACCACUGCUUUUCUCAUAACUCUCCUUCCAAUUUCCUACGAGAUGCUCUACGGCUAUAUAUUUUGUAAGAUUUUCGUAGGAAUUUUCCUAUGACUUUUUUGACGACUUAUUUCGUAGAAAAUUUACUUCCAUUUUCCUACAAAAUAAUUAUUCCGUGACAACCUGGUAGAAUUGUAGAAAUUGAUAUAUCCUACCAAAGAUUUCCUACGAAUUUGACAAUGUUUUUUUUUGUAGUAACGUAUCUUGUUUAAUUGUGUAGUGUUCUAGAUAUUCAAAUGGGUUUCUCACUGAAAAAACCAACUAUGAUGACCCGAAAGAUGAUUAUCGGGGCUGUUCUAGACGUUGCAACAUACGAGAGUGUGGUUAAGGACGAUGGGGUUAAUCCCAUGACAGUGACAAUGCUACCAUUCGGCGUUGUCUUACAUCCCGCAAAUGAGAAACGCUUCACUUUGUCGGUUGGUUAUCAAUUCGAGACAGACAAGGUUAACGCCGAUGAAGCGAAGAAAAUGAUUUCUCAAACUUUGAGAAACCUUACCAAUGCUCUCCCUCGGGCUGAAAAGUGCCAAUAGAUGUUUAUCCUCGCUCCACGGGAUAGUUGACUCUUUGCUUUGGGCAAUGCAGUGCCUAAUAUCACUAAGUGAAUUGAGGGUCACCUUUGCAUUUGAUUGCUUUGAUAUUAUCUCGAUGAUUGACAACUAUGCAGAGUGGCCAAGCUUUGCAGUGGAGAUGGCCAUUUUUCAAUUUUUUUCUUAUCUCUGUUAGAUUUAUUCCUCGUUGUAACAAUGUUCGGACUGAUUGUUUAGCCAAGAAGAUGCACGUUUGUGGUACUCUCUUUUUCCACGUACGCUCAUCGGUUUCUAAAUGAUUCUCUCUAAAGAAGAAUCUCUUUUCAAUAACUUAAUAAAAUUGGUGUGUGGUAAAAAUAAAAAUUUACGCUGUGUUUCUGUUAAAAAAUAGGUGAUCCAAAGUUGUCUCAAAAAACAUUCUCAUACAUCAGUUCGUUCAAACAACACAAAAUCAUCAUUUAUAAUUAGUUGGAGUGGAUAUAAACAGCUAAAUGCCUCAAUCUAAACCGGAUUCUCUAAAUCUCAACGGGCUCAAGGCAUCUCCUUUUAGAAAGCUUAUUGAUCUUACCAGCCAAUUAUAGAUUCUUUGAUAUAUGCUUUCAUCUUCUCGAAUAUGUUUAUUACCAAAAAAAAAAUUGUAUAAAAUCAAAUAAUAUUAAAAAUUUGUAAAACUUAUAUGAACUUCAACGAGGUUAAGAAGAUGUUUCAAGGUUUACCAAAAAUUAUAUAAAAUCAAAUAGUAUUACAAAUUAAUCAAAAUUAUCACCAAAUUAGUUGAUAUUUACAAAAAUAUCUCUAUAGUUUGGGUCUUUUUGGCCCAAACAGUUUACCUGAUAGUCCAGUAACAGGUGAUCUGGCUAUCCCGUGACAUUAGUCGGAAAGCAUUCCAAAUUCGGAACAGACAGUGUGUGGUGGCCCUUCAGAGAGUAGUCUACUCUGAAGCACUUCGGUGUUUUUCUACUGUAGUUGACCGGAUCAGCCGAUAUGGUUUAUAAAUAAAAAAAAAUGCUAUAAACUUUUUAAAAGUUAUUGAAUUUGAAUUUAUUUUUUUUAAAUCUAUUUGUCGUUUAAUCAUGAAAAAAAAAAGAAUAGGAAAAUUAAACGCGUAAGAUCUAGUCAAUGUGGUCAUGGGAUGGGUCACCUAAUCAAAUCUUUUUCUCCCUAAAAAAAGAAGUAAAAAAAUUUCUCUCAAUUUCCUCGAAGAAGAAGAAGAACAUUAACAAACUUAAAAAAAAAAUGUCAAAUUGUCAAAAACUAAUAAACCAAUCAAAUUCCUCCAUUUUUUCCCUCUUUUCUUUUUCUUCUUCCUCCCAAUCAACUCUUCAGAUUCCAGGAAAGAGAGAAAGAAAGAUUCAAUCUUUAUUAGCCGGAGAUGAUGAAUUCGCCGAACUGGGAACUCCGUGGUUGUUGUAACCGGAAUCAAAAUACUUUCCUUAUCACCAUCGGAAUCUUCACCGUCGUUAUCCUUCUGGUAAGUUUUUUCUAAUGUCCGACUAUAAAGUUUGAAACUUUAUUUGUUAUCUUCGAUUUUGAAUGGGUUUUUGUAAAAUUUAGUCAAAAGGGUUUCCGAUUCACUUAUAAUUUCAACGAAAUUUUGCGAAUUUUGCGAUUGAAGUAUCAAAGUUUUUGUUUUUAUGAUCUGGGUUUUUGGUUGUGACAGCUAUGGAGGACAUUUCUAUUGACUCCAUUUAAACUCAUUACGGUGUUUUUGCAUGAAGCAAGUCAUGCCGUUGCUUGCAAGCUUACAUGUGGAGAUGUAAGGAGCUUUCUCACUUCAACUAUUAGUCUUCAAUGAACUUAAAAGGGUAUAAAGUUGGUUUUAGGUCACUUGAACCCUUGAUUUAGUUUGCAAACAUGAAUUGUCUCCUUCCAUUUUGUUUGAAAGAGCAGAGAAGAUAUUCUGGUUUCCUUAGAUAGAAAGGUUUUUACUUCAGCAAUAUGUCACUGCAUUCUCUCUGGACAUGAUUGUUAGUAGAGCCAUAGAUAAGAGGUUGCGGUAUCCGUAUUUGUCUUGCUAUCUGUUAUAUUCCUUACUUUAUUAGAUUUGUAUACGAUUCUCGCUUGCUUCCAUUGUUAAUGUGUAAACUACUAGCUUCUGUCAUUAUUUAUGAACACACACUGAGUUUACUUGAACAAGUGCAGCUGCUCAAGCUUUAGCUGUAGGUCUACUAUAACUUGCCUAGGACUGAAUGUAACACAUUAUAGCUCUUAAGAAAUGGUUAGAAAGCUUUUAGUGAGGGCUGGUUUAUAAAGAUGUCCCCGGAGAUUGUUAGGGUGUAGAUUCAAUGGCGAUUUUGGUUCUGUGAGAAUAGGAGUGUACAGCUUCAGCUCUUAGUCUUACUAUACUUCUGAUUGUGUUUCUUCUAGAUUGAUUGAUGCAUAUGACAAUAUGCAAGUAUUGCAGAGACAAUGUGAGAUCCACAAUUUUUUCAUUGCAAGUACUGUGUGUAUGAAACUUAUCUACCAUCUUCUCUCUAUGAAUCUUUAAGUUUUAUACCCUCAUAACAUUUAUCUUGAAUAGGCUGUGUAUAGUUUGCACAUAAACCACCAAAUGUGUGCACCAUCUCUCUGUGAUUCUGCAACUAACAGUCACAUAUAAUGUGGAUAAUGUGUUCCUACUAACAAAAUGUCACUCAUUUUGGUUAAUUAACUUCUUAUUGAAUCAAAAGGUAGAGGGGAUGGAGGUGAAUGCAAAUGAAGGGGGUUCGACAACAACACGUGGUGGCAUUUAUUGGCUGAUCUUACCUGCUGGCUGUAAUGCACAAUCUAUCUAUAUAUCUUACUUAUACAAAUCCAUUAUUUUUCGAAUUUAGUCUUAGCCUUUUUGUUGUUGAAUUGGUUAUAGAUCUUGGCUCAUCAUUUUGGGGAAUGGCAUUGAUUCUUGCAUCUACCAAUCUGCUGACAGCAAGAAUAGCUGCUGCUGGUCUGGGUCUUGCUUUAUUCAUCGUCCUAUUCAUUGCCAAAAAUGUAAGAAGAAGUCAUUAUUUCUCUUAUCUAACAAAGUUUUAUUUCAUUAACAUCAAAUACUGAGAUCUUCAAUUUUGACAGUGGACUCUUCGAGGUCUUUGUAUAGGUGUGUUGUCUCACGAAUCCUCUUGUUACAUUUUCUUAGUAAGCACCCACCCAAAAGCCUUACAUAGUUAUAUAAAUAUCAGGUUUCAUAGUUUUCCUCGCUAUCAUCUGGGUUCUACAAGAGUUAACUACAGUCAAAAUUCUCCGUUAUGUCAUUCUGUUCAUUGGUAAGAUACCAUUAAACUCUUCUCCUUCUUGUUAACAUCAUUCAGCCUCAUUUAGCCUAUAUAAAAUUGGGAUUCACAAUGUUACAGGUGUGAUGAAUAGCUUAUUCUCAGUUUACGGUAUGUAAUUCCUUCGUCCCAUUUACUUCACUUAAAAGUUAUGACUUAUGACCAAUAAUAAUGUGGCUGCGAUGUAUGGAUAUUAGAUAUCUAUGAUGAUUUGAUAUCUCGGAGGGUCCAUUCGAGCGACGCUGAGAAGUUUGCAGAGAUCUGUCCUUGCUGUACCGGUUGUGGCUGGGGUGUCAUCUGGUUAGAUUUAAAUACAACUCUCAGUUAUCAGAUUCUGAAAGUGAAAAUGAAAUCCUUAUUCUAACACUUUGUUUCCAUUUCAGGGGAAUGAUUUCAUUUGCGUUUCUUUGCGCGUCGCUCUAUCUCGGCCUAGUGAUCCUAUCAUAAAAGGGUACUCUUGUAUGAAUUUGUUGGUGUCUCUCAGGUUCAAAUUCUUCCCAGUGAAAUGCAGAGACAAUAGUUUGAUAAAAGCUUGAUUCUUUAAAUCCCUUGGUGUGCUUGGGAUUUACAUUGUUGAUUGAAUGUAUUUUUUUUUUUUAGAUUUUGGAGUGUGUUGAAUAGAAUUCAUUGACAAUUUGAUUUGGUCUGUUUAUUGCAUUAAAAGUUCGUUGACUUCUUUAACCCAAAAAAGUCCGUUGACUUCUUCAACAACAAAAAGAAAAAGAAGUCGGUUGACUUUCUAUAAGCUUCUAUUUUUGAACCUUGAAAUUGUUAAAAGCAUUAUUUUAAUUAUUUAUUUAGUUCCUAUUAUUUCUUGUAAGUGAAAUAGAAUGUUUUGAAGAUAAUUGUCGUAACGGAAAUUCCUAAGUUAUAAAGAGAAUACAACGAAAAAGUCUUUCAACUUUGAUCAAGUCCAUUUUAAUUCAUCCAUCUACACGAAACGAAUUUGUUAAAACCAAAACGUUGAGGACUUGAGGUGAUUUUUUCACUUAAUACACCAAAAUUGAGAAAAUUGUUUUUUACUUUUUACCUAUGUUGCAUGGAAACGAAAACGGAAACGUGGAAGCGAAACGUUUCGGAAACGGGAAACGAUUUUUUUCUAAAAUUAGGGAUUGGAAACGUUUUGGAAACGUGUACACAUAUAUAAUAUAUGUAUAUAUAUAAUAUUAGCAUAAAACUAUAAAAAUGGUUUAAUUAAACAAUAAAGUCUAAAACAUCAAAUAUUAAAUAGGUUAACUAAAAUUCUAAAAGAAAAAAGAUUAAAAGGUUCAAGUUCAAAUAUUUAAUUUAGACAAACAUUUUCAUUUUCAUUUUCAUUAGUUUCAUCGUAGAAUCAUAUAAAGAUGCCUCUAAAUCUAGUUUGUCGAUAAAAAGAUCUUAAAACUCAGAGUCUUCCAAAAUUAGUUAUAUGUAUUAUAAAUUUUAAUCUUUUCAACUUUUAUUUAUUAAGUUUCCAAAGUCAAUAAAAAAAUAUUUGUCGCGUUUCCAUUUUAGAAACGUGAGUUUCCAAACAUAGAUUUUUAGGAAACACGUUUACAUGACGUUUUUCGUGUUUCCGAAUAGUUUCCGUUUCCGAAACGUUUCGGAAACGGGAAACGGAUCUCGAAGAGAAUUUCCAUGCAACAUAGCUUUUUACUAAAAAUAGUUAGACAAAAUUUGAAGGCUUAUUACGGAAUAUCAUUUUCCCACGUUUCAAUGAACAACCUAACAACUGUAAAUGGUGCUUAGAAGGUUUUUUGGUAGUUCAUAUCAAGUUUGUCAUGUCCUUUAAUUUUUUGUUUUUUCUGGUUAAAAUGUUUAAUACCAUGUACAACACAAUAUGGCUUUAGUAGGAGGGGUCGAAUAUCGAAAUAUCAUUCAAUUUUCUUUGGUGGUUUUUUCAAGAAUUAUGCAAAUAAAGUUGUAGGAUAUCUAACUAGUCCAGGUUUGAUCCACGUUGGAAACAAAAAACACAUCUGUGUGGAAAGUCUGGGUUUGGGCCAAAAGUUUACUUGGUAGUCCAGUAACACGCGAUUUGGCUACCUCCUGAUAUUAGUCGGAAAACAUUUCAAACUCAGGACAGGCAGUGUGGUAGCCUUUUGGGGAGAAGUCCACUCUGAAGCACUUCGGUGUGUUUCUACCGGGACUGACCGAAUCAACCGAUAGAGUUUAUCAAAAAAAAUCUAACUAUUUUCUCGAUGGAGAUAUAACUAAUUUGACCGAAUACUAUAGAAUAUGUUCUUCUCCAUAAUAUGUUGGAGUUGGAGAUAUGCCAUAAAAGAUGUUGACACAUUAGGAACAAGAACCGGGUUCAAUAAGUUGAGGAAUACCGAAUACCAAACCGAACACCAACUUGGAGUCGUGGAGAAGAAGAUGACGUAAAGGUUAGAUGUGGAGCAUAACGAACUCCAUGUCACCGCCUAAUUACUUUUUCAACCAUUGACGAAGUCUUCUAACAGUAACCCUUCAUUCUUCAUAUGAUCCCUACUCCACCGUCACAUGAGAUUAGAAUUCUAUAAUUUAGGUUUAUGGCUAUUUUAUGACAUAGACGAAUUCAAUAUCUAAAAAAACACAAUUUAACCUAGCUAUUACAUAUGAUGUCGUCAUGCAUGAUAAUUGCCAACUAGUGGACGGAAGUUUGUAAAAGCUUGCAUCCACGAUUUAAAAUAUUGUUUGCAUGUUGUAUAAUUGAACACGUGAUAUAAAAAUUCUAAAUCUUUCGAUAUCAUUGGGGAAAUAUACUUUUUUGGAAGUUUCCCAUCGUGGAAAGCUCUUACCCUCUGCUAGGGUAAAAUUUCUUACUACUUAUAUUUCUUUAUGCGGAAGCCGGAAGCUAUCUUAUAAAAAAUCGGUCCAUUGACCAUUAAAUGGCCCAUUUCUGGAGUAUAUGCCCGUUCGUUCAUGUAUGAUGGAAAAAUUGGAAUCACACAUUUGCUCGAUAAUAGGAGCGAUUAUGGUGGUUUAGGCCAAACACAUGGACCAAACAUCAGAUUGCGUUUUUUUUCCACUAAGCCAAAACAAAAAAAACAAAAAAUAGUUUUGCUGUGUAAACACAACACACGAACAAAGGUUUUGGCAACCAUUAUCGGUCAUGUCGUAGUGAAAACCAUCCAUAUUGAAAAAUUCAUUCGAUAAAAUCUAUAUUUUGUACAUAUUUUUAUAGUUUUAGAUUUAUAUUCAAGAAUUGUUUUAUAUCCUUUUUUAUGUAUUAUUAUUAUGAAGCAUAUUAUCUUUUAUCACAUAACAAAAUAAUUUUAAAAAAAAAAUCCAUUUUAAAAAAAUUCCCAAAGCAUGCUUUCAUGUGUAAUAAUAAAUAUUAAAAAUGAAGAAUAAAUUAAGAUUUUGGUUUUGAAUUCAAUAAUUUCGUUUGUAACUAUACUAUUUUUAGUUUUGAUAUCCGGAUUUCGCAAAAAUAACACUUUCUAUCAAACUACAUUAAUAUGAUAUAUUAUAUAUUUUAUUGGGGUUUAUAGAUAAAGUUUAAAAUUUUAAAUCUGCAUAUGGAGCGGUUAUAUUUGCGUAUAUUAUAUUUUCUGUAAUCGAAGAAAAAUGAGGCUUCAUAUACAGUUGGAUUGCUAUUAAUGUUAUUUCUUUAUCAAACCAAGCAAGUGAUAACAAAAAUAAAAAAAGGUAUUAAUGUUGAAUUGUAAAUAAAGGAAGAAAUUUAAAUUAUGUCAUUUCAGAAGAGGAAGUAUGUCACAUGUAAAUAGAUCAUUGAUACUUUUCAAGAGAACUUCCACAAGAAAGCCAUUGACUUCUACCUUUCUAAAUUUCCAGCUUGACCCAUUUAUUUCUCAUGAAGUUAUAAGAACUUUACGUACUAGAUAUUUAAUAUGUUUACAAUAUUCAGGAAUUUAAAAAUAUGGUAGUAUCAACUAAUGUUGAAAUCAUUUGAUUUGACUUUUUAUUACCAAAAUUCAUGUAAUUUCUUUUAGUUCUUACCAAAAUAUUUAUGUGGUAUGCUAAUAUUCGUUUUUUAUUCUGAGAAAAUUUAACCCCAACCAAAAUAUUGAGUGGCAAGCAAUGUUCAACUAAUAUAUGAUAAGGAGAACAAAAGUUAUGGCAAGUUUGGAAAAAAAAAUCAAUUUAUUAGCAUAUUUUUGACUCAUGCGCAUCUCAAACUUUUUUCUUGAUCCUUCUUCCUUAUCUUAUCUUUUCUCAAAUUCUAUAUUUCCAAAAUAAAACACGCAAUUUCUAUUAUAAUUAUACAAUAAAAAACUCAAAUUAUCUUCCAAAAAUGUCUUUACCACUAUUUUUCAGAUUUCUCCUCCACGUCUACUGAUUGUCAUAGAUAUGUUUUAAAGAUGAGGCAUUAAUUCUCUUCUUGUUCACACGUAAGUAUAUACUUUUCAUAAUAAAAAAUUGUUUUUUUGUUAAUUCAUACUUUUCAUAAUUUAAUUCAAGGAAUUCUCGUGAACCGAUUUCUAAAAACAUUUACAAAAUUAGUUAAUUAAUGCAUAUCUUUAUUUCUACAUAAAGAAACACAUACAAUAUUUACUAUAUUGCUUCUAUAUUAAUAUUCUUCUUUCCAUAUAUAAAUGAUUGAAUUUUAACCCUCUUACAAGGAAUAUAUUUCAUUUACAUUAUAUAUAGAUUACAAGAAAAGCCCAUCAAUCUAUUAUUCUCUGAUUCAGCGAAGAAAAUAAAUAAAUAAACGGCCAAAAAAUGGGAGCAGACGCAAUCCAAACGAACGGUCACGAUCAAACCAAGUUAACCGGCGGUGAAGAGAUCCAACGGCUGAGAUGUUUCGUGAAGAACUACGAAUGGGGCAAACUCGGACCAGACUCAUUGGUGGCGAGACUCCAAGAGGCUAAUACAGGACAAAGAGUCGACCCGGAGAUUCCUCACGCCGAGUUUUGGAUGGGGACUCAUGAGUCUGGACCGAGUCAUGUUGAAUUCGGGUCGUUGGGUCAUGGUGGGUCUGAUAAAUGUAUGGUUACAUUGAAGUCGUGGGUUUUGGAUAAUCCGGAUUUACUCGGGUCUAAAGUCGUGGACAAGUGGGGUUGUGAUCUUCCUUUCCUCUUCAAGGUAAUGGUUAAUUUCUCUGUUUUUUUUGCUCUGUUUUGAAGAUGUUGCAUUUGACUCUGUUUUUCUUAUUAAUAAAUUGGAUUUUUGUGUGUUUUUAAAAGUUAAAAUAUACAGGUUUGGGUAUUAUCUUAUUAUAUAAACACGUAUAUAUCUACCAAUCAAAAUAUACAUUUUCAGAGUCUGUUUUAUGGUCAAUUUCUCUGUUUUCUUUCCUCUGUUUUGAAGAUGUUACAUUUGACUCUGUUUUUUUUUGUUAAAAAUUUGUUUUUUUUUAAAGUUAAAGCAUAGUUUUGAAUCUAAUGAUAAUUUUUUUGGUAUUGAAUUGUGAAAAUCAUUGUCACAUCUAAAAAAUUUCUGUUUUUUUUUUUUUUUUUUUUGUUCUGUUUUGAAGAUGUUCACAUUUGACUCUGUUUUUCAAAUAAAAGAUUUGGGGGUUUUUUGCGUGUUUUUAAGAGUUUAAAGCAUAUAGAUUUGAAUUUAAAGAGAAGUGUUUUGGUGUUGAAAUGUGAAAAUUUUAGGUGUUGUCAGUGACGAAAGCAUUGUCGAUUCAAGCACAUCCAAAUAAAGCUUUAGCAGAGAAAUUGCAUAGAGAAGAUCCUCUUCUUUACAGAGACAAUAACCACAAGCCUGAGAUUGCUCUUGCUGUUACUCCUUUUCAAGCCCUUUGUGGUUUCGUACCUCUUAAGGUACACAAUUUCAGAUCUUUCUCUCUGUCUAUCAUUCUUUGCAAAAAUUUAGGUCAGUUUUUGGUUCAGAUCAACCGAAAUUACACAAGGGUUUAAGUUCUUUAUAGAUCCGGUUUGAUCGAAAGAAACCGGUUUGAUCGAAAGAAACCGGUUUGAUUGUUUUGUUUUAUUGUUCAAUCGUGAUCAACCGAUUGGAUCUAAAACCAAAAUCGCAUAGAAGUAUCAAAUUAGGUUUAAUAUUGAUUAUUGUAGUACAAAAACCGAAAAAUCUUGAUAGCUAAACAUCUUGGUUGUUACUUGUGCUACAAGAAAAAUUGAACUGGUUUUGUGCCUAUAAUUGAAUCAGGAGUUGAAGGAGGUUAUCACCAAUGUACCAGAGAUCACAGAGCUUGUGGGAAGCAAAGCUGCAGAUCAAAUCUUCAACGUCCAUGAACACGAUGAAGACGAAAGAGUCAAAUCCGUUGUCCGGUUGAUCUUCACGCAGUUGAUGUCCGCAAGCAACAAUGAGACGAAGCAAGUGGUAUCUCGGAUGAAGAAUCGUCUGAUCUCGGAGACCAAACACCGUGAACUGUCGGAGAAAGAGAAUUUGGUUUUGGAAUUGGAGAAACAGUACUCAGGUGACAUAGGUGUGAUUUCAGCCUUUUUCUUUAACUACGUCAAGCUUAAUCGAGGAGAGGCUUUGUAUUUGGACGCAAACGACCCACACGCUUACAUUUCCGGCGACUGUGUCGAGUGUAUGGCGGCUUCAGACAACGUUGUUAGAGCUGGUCUCACUCCAAAACACCGCGAUGUUCAAACCCUUUGCUCUAUGCUUACUUACAAAUUGGUAACUUUCUUUACACGCUAACGUUUUAGUACCUUUCUUUACACGUUAAUGUUUUGGUUCAGCUGAUAAACCGAAUAUCAAAACCAAACUAGUAAUUGUUACUGUUUUCUUUGUUUGGUUUAUUGAUUAAUCGUACCGGAAUUUGUUCAGGGCUACCCGGAGAUUCUGAAAGGAUUUCCUCUAACUCCUUACGUUACAAGGUAUCUUCCUCCAUUUGAUGAGUUCGAAGUGGACCAUUGCGAUCUACCUGGUGGAAAUUCGACGGUUUUUCCGGCAGUACCGGGGCCUUCGGUUUAUUUGGUUAUUGAAGGUCAAGGGAAAUUGCAAACCGGUUCAUCUCAAUUGUUGGUUAACCGAGGAGAUGUUUUGUUUGUUCCGGCUCAUAACGAGGUUCACGUAACCGGAGAAAGUGAUGUGAUGAAGCUUUACAGAGCUGGAGUCAGCAGCAGAUUCUUCCAAACACUCUAGGCUAAAAAUUUAAGUAUAUGAUCUUUACUAAUUACUAUAUAUAUUUAUAAGCAUUCAUAGGGACCAAUUUUCCAAAUUGGUAGGAAUGUGUUGUUUAAUUCCCCGAUGGUGGCCCAUUGCAAAUUAAAAGUUCAAGGAGUUGUUAUUUUUCUAUUUUUAUUUAUAUAUAUACAUAUUUAAACGAACGAACUUUAUAUGUAAAAUAACUAAAAAAUCUUUUUAUCCAAUGUUUUUUUUUUUUGAUAAAAUCUUUUUAUCCAAUGUUUCAGAUUAGAAAAUGUUAAUGUGAUAUAUAUUAUCACGUGUAUUUGUGUUAAUUCGUGAAAUUCCAACGAAAACCUAGCAAUAAUGAAUAAAUUGGUUCAUGUUUCUUACAUAUUAUUUUAAGUGAUAUAUGUCGGCGUCAGAUUUCUUCCUCUCUUCUCUUUUUUAGUUUUUUCUUUUUCCUUUGUAUCGAUUUCUUUUAGCCGGCGGCGGCUCUUCCUUCUUUGUGGCUUAAUCAGAGACUUUUAAGUCGACGGCGAGCAGAGGUAGUUUUCUCAGAUGGAGGUUCGUUGGUGGAUCUACAAUGGGGAACUAUAACUCUCGACGACGGCAGCAGAUCUGGUGGAUUUCUUCGUCAGUCUCUUCGCGGAGGUACCUCUCCUCCGAUGAGCCUCUUUGGUGGCGGCGGCUCAGUGUUAAGAAGGGACAGAGGUAGGCGAAUCGUGGUUUUUCGAGCUUGGCUGUGAAGAUCCUAUCGAUCCCGGGCAGAUUUACAUGAUUCAAGGCUUUCUAGCUAUGCUGCCGCCAACGACUCCCGACAGAGAAUAAAUUAGAUGUAGGGGAGAUAAGAAAACCAUUUGGAUUGUAGAAGAAGAAGGAAAGCUCUCCAUUAAUGCCCCGGCUUCAAGAAAUUUUUGUCUCAGCCCGGUUAAUCCGGUUGAGUAUCAGUCGGAUUAGUAUGUCCGUUUUAGGCUUAGGACCGGAAUAGUGAAAGCCGAGGAGUCAAAACCCUUCUGAAGUUGCGCUUUUGGCGUAGAUGCUAUUAGGACACGCUCUACACUCGGAUCAUGAGGGACUAAUAGCUUGGAAUUGGUUUGGAUCUCAGGAGAGGAUUUGAUUUUCUUUGUGUUAGUAAUUGUUUUCGUGUCAUUGGGUGAAUUUAGGUGGUUUAAGAGAUGAUUUCACUUAGAGUCGUGGUGUAAUUCAUCUCGUUGUGGUUGGAAAAUACAAUGAUUUUCAGUUGGGUAGCGUUGGAUCCGUUAGUGUUUCAGGGUUUUAUUUGACUAAAUCAUUGUAUUUGAGUGAAGUUUGUCGAGGUCAAAUGAUUUGUAAUAUCGAUUUGGUGAAUGAAUAGUUGAUGUUGAGCAAAAAAAAAAAAAAAAAAAAAAAAAAAAACACAAUUUUUCGAUGCGAGGACUCUUCUAGGCUUCUAGCCUAUCAAUACUAGUAUUUUUACAGUCACUUUCGUCUUUGGUGAUGGAUGAGUAAAAAUGCUUCUGGGUUAUUUGGAUAUCCGAUCCAUUUUAAAAAAUCUUGCACAAAAAAUUUGUUGGGUCGGAGUAUAUUUAACCCAACUCAUACACCGGAUAUUCCAUAUUUAAUAAUUACAUAUUUAGAAGAUUUGAUUAAGAUUUAUAAUUAUGAUUCUCCUAUCAUCUUUGUUUGAUUUGUUUUUAACUGUUUUGAAUUAUCAUAUCUUACUAGGAUCGGACCCACGGUCCACCGCGGGAGAAUAUUGGUUUACAUACGUUGCGUUUAAUAUUGUGUGUUUUUUAGUAGAACGAAUCGUGUAGUAUACUUAUAAAUAUUCAUAAUAACGAAUUGUAGAGAAAAUGUAAAAUUGUUUAUAAAUAUACCCAUCGUAUUAAUUAUGAUUUACAAAAUAGAAUUUUGUGUUUAAAAAUUCUAAAAUUAGACGAUUCAUGAGAAUUAGAGCAGUCAAAAUAGGUCAAAAACCGCGGGUCGAGCCCACAUCAUCUCACUAUGGAGCAGAUUUGAGAAAAUAUAUUAAACCCACAAAUAAGCAGACCACAUGGAUUAAUUCGCAGUGGGUCAUAGGUUUAAUCAGUUUUCAUCCGCGGGUUGGCGGAUCAGCCCGCAUAUUAGUAUUUAUUGAUAAAAUUAUAAUUUAUUCAACAUGCGGUAAUUUAAACAAACUUUUAAUAGUAUUUUGAUUUAUUUAUUUAUUUUAGUAGUAUUUUAAAUUUUGGUUACUUUAAAAUUAUUUAAACAAAAUCCAUGGACAAUCCCGCAAAUCCGCAUACAUUCGCGGAACGGGUUUGUAUUUCAUAUAUGCUACCCGCGGGUCGUGCGGACCGACUAACUACAAGUCAAAAUAUUUUUUGUCUAUCGCAAAACGGACUUAACGGGACGAAUCAACUCGCUUUGACAGUUCUAAUGGGAAUAUUAUUUAGUCAUACAACAAAAUGAAGUUUGGACAUAGUAAUAAUAGAAUAUGUAUCUUAUUUGUUAGAUGAGAGAUUGAAAGAUGAAGUAUAAUGAUUAAAAAUUAAUUUUUUUUUCAUGAUUCACAAAUUUAAUAAAUACUUAUCAUCUUGUUGAAUAAUUCUAAAAUCAUAUUCAAGAAAUCUUUAUAAAUUGAAAAUUAAACUUUUUAGGUAAGCUAUAUGUAUGAAAAUAUCAUAAUUUUGAUUAAUCUAAUUAAAUUAAAAUUAGUUACAUGGAUUUCAUAUCUAUUUAAUUUACACGACCAAAAUAAAAAUAUCUAUUUAAUUUACAUGACCAAAAUAAAAAUAUCAAUUUAAUUUAUAAAACAGAUGGGUUAUUUGUGAUAAAUUUUCUAGAAAUCUUUAGAAGCAAGUAAAAUAUCUUUCAAUUAAUGAUAAUUGGCUAAAAUGAGCGAAAUUAACGACAAAAACGUUGAUUGUUAUGAAAUUAGUCCCAAAAAUAUAUGAACAAAUUUAUUAUACGUAAUUAAUGUAUAAUAUUGUUUGGAAUAUGCUUUUAUUAUUAGUUACCAUAAGUACAAUCAGAUUUUAUUUGAUUUCCAUAAAUAUUUGUUUUUAUUUCAAUUUUUCAUUAUUAAUUCGAAUUUAUAUUCCAAAAAAAUUUCAAAGAUCCGAUUUCAGAAUUUCGGGUCAAUUUUCUGAUUUUAACCCGACCCAUUUUCAAUUGUACUUCUCUUUUAAUAGUAUAGAGAUUAUAUAAAGUAUGGUUUUCAAAGUUAAUAACUCAUACGAUCGUAACACAUGGAAAAUCUAUCGAUCUUAAAUUUUAACACGUAUAAAACAAAAUUUCCUUUUUAAAAUAAUAAAAAAGAUAAUUGUAAAUAAUUAUAAAUUUAAAUAAUUUUAAAAAUAUAAAAUAACUAGUAUUUUUACAGUCACUUUCGUCUUUGGUGAUGGAUGAGUAAAAAUGCUUCUGGGUUAUUUGGAUAUCCGAUCCAUUUCAAAAAAUCUUUCACAAAAAAUUUGUUGGGUCGGAUUAUAUUUAACCCAACUCAUACACCGAAUAUUCCAUAUUUAAUAAUUAGAUAUUUAGAAGAUUUGAUUAAGAUUUAUAAUUAUGAUUCUCCUAUCAUCUUUGUUUGAUUUGUUUUUAACUGUUUUGAAUCAUCAUAUCUUAUUAUAUAAAGUAUAGUUUUCAAAGUUAAUAACUCAUACGAUCGUAACACGUGGAAAAUCUAUCGAUCUUAAAUUUUAACACGUAUAAAACAAAAUUUCCUUUUUAAAAUAAUAAAAAAAGAUAAUUGUAAAUAAUUAUAAAUUUAAAUAAUUUUAAAAAUAUAAAAUAUAAUGGUAAAUAAUUAAUAUUUCUAUAAACAAUUAAAAAAUGUCAAAAUAUAAUAAUAAGGAAAUUAUACGUUUUUUAUAAUUAGAAAUAUAUAUUUCAAUUAAACAAGAAAAAAUCAGGCAAAUUUAUUAAAAAGGAAACAUAUGUUAUUAUAAAACUAAUAUGUUCUAUUUCUGUUUCUCAAAGUUAGUAAUUAAUAGUAUUAUAAACCGUUAUCAGUCAAAGAUUUUAUCAUGAUUUAAUUUAAAAUUUGAUAUUAUUUAUCUCAAUUUCCUUUCCAAUUAGAAUAUAUGAUGAUUUAAUUAAACUAAUAUUCAUAUUAUUUAUUUGAGUUUAUUUUUUGAGAGAUCAAAUUUUUUUUUCUUUUUGUAAUAUUUUUUUACUUAACUGUGUUUUUUUUUCCUUAAUUAUUGUGGAUGUCGGAUUCACACACUCAAGUAUUUUUACUAAGCGGGAAAGAUUACUCUUGAGGGACAAAAAAUGAAUAUGUAAAAAGCUAUGAAUUGAUACAAAAAUUGCUAUAGUAUUUCUUGCUCGAGGAAAAGAUCCCCUUUACAUGGCCCUUGGCCAUUAUAUUUAUACAUAAAAAACAACAUUUAAGUGGCUAAUUAAGUACAAUUAUUCUUUCUUAAAUGUAUCCGUUUUGGUCUCAGAAUUUAAUGCUCAACGUUUGAAUUUGAAUUGAUUCCGACCUUCAUGGGCCUCGCCUCUCAGUCCAAAUUACCUUGAACCGACUUAACUAUGACUUCGACUCGUAUCGAGGUGCAAUCAAUUCGAACUUUCUUUGUGGUGUCACCACCUCGACCGCACCCUUAUCUUACAGACCUAAUGGGCCUUAUCCCUUGUGGGCCUUCGUCUUGACUGCGUGGCAAUCUUUGGUUGGUCCCGGACUACUAGUGCGGGAUCCGACACCAACAAUUAUGAUUGUAGUAUUUUUAGAUUGUUUAUUUCAAUUUCUCUUUUCAUAUUAAUUAUCAAAGAUUCAUAUAUCAUCGUGUUUAUAAUUUUUUAUUUUUAGUUUAACAGUUGUAACUUUAAAUUAUUUAUUUUGGUUUCUACGUUCAGUUUAAUAUAAGAUUUAUAAUAUAUCAAAAUUCUAAUGAUUUUAGAUAGCGACAAUGUCAUGAUUUAAAUUACAAUCUUAUAUUAUUUAUAUCAAUUUUAUUUUCUAAUUAGAAAUAUAUGAUGAUUUUAAGUAAAUUUUUAUAUUGUUUAUUUGAAAUUCUUGAAUAUGUAAGAACUUAUAUGCUUCUUCUUUGUUUUUGAUAUUUUGAAUUUAAUUAUACUAUUUCAAAAUUGUUUAUUUAAAUUUCUAUGUUCAUAUUUGAAUUAUAUAAGAUUCAUAUAUCAUCUCGCUUAUAAUUUUUUGAAUUUAUCAAUUUUUAUUGAUUGAUCAAUAAAGUCAUUACAAUCGAGUAUAUAAGAAUCGAACCUGAAACGUUAGCUUGGAAGACUAAGAGAUUUAGUCGAUUUAUCAUAUUUAUAUUUUUAACGUGUCUCAUUAGGAACCACUUUGGUUUCAGUCACCAACUUUAUGAUGAAUAUUUUUAAAUUUAGUUAUUCAUAUAGUAUACUAUGAGUUAUUGCUAUGUGAUAUAUCUUUCAUUCGAAAAAAUUUUGAAUUAAUAAUUUUAGUGGUUAAAGAAACAAUGCAACAGUGAAAAAGUAAAUAUUUUUUUUUACUUUUGUAAGAAAAUUUUUACUUACAACAUUGUUAAUUAAUCUUUUGUUAAAUUUGAUUUUAGUUUUUUUUUAAAAAUUAAACCCGUUCAUCGGACGGGUCCUUUUCUAGUAAUACAUAAAGUAGAAAAAAAUCAAUUUUUUUCUCCAUAACUGUUAUUCAAAAUUUAAAAAACGGACAUAUAUUAUCCAAUUGACGAAAAUGUGUGUUCAACGUUCUACAUCGAUUAAAAUAUUUAAACAAUGAUUCAGAAUCAUAUCAUAAAUAAGAUCAUUAAUAAAAUAAAUGAGUUUUUUGGCCGAACGGGUUUGGAGGGACGGAUUUUUGAAUCAACAAUAAUAAAAAGAUUAAAAUAUCAUUAAUCCGCCGCUUCAAUACAGAUUAAAUCCUUAUUUUUUAAUACUACAAAUAUUAGAUAUAUCAAAUCAGUCUCAUUUAGAAAAGAUUGUAUAAAACCAAAAUUGUCCCGUGAUAUAAUGUCGUGGUCUUAGAGGAUGAUAUGAUUUGUAAACUUUUAUAUAUAAUAAAUAAUUUUAAAAUUUUAAAAUAAAAACAAAUCACGGGACAGGUUAAGAAAUUACGGAACGGGUUAAUAUUUCGGAAAGAAUUUAUAUGGCGGACGAAUUUGAAUCAAUAUUUAUAUACCGCUUUAAUACGAGUUAAAUCCUCAGUUUAUUAAUAAUUGUCUCGUGGACUCGUGGUAUACCGUUACUUAAUAACAAUUGUAAACUAUAAUAUAAAUAAAUAUGUUAUAAGGAGAUACAAUUUACAAAAUAUUUUUAUACUAACUUUAAAAUUAAAUCAUCCGGGUUAAAAUCUAGUCUUGUUAUAUAUCAUACUAGAAUUAUCCUAUUUUGAGAUUCAUGACUAAUCAAAAAGUCAAAGCAAUCAAAUGAUAGAGUUUAUGGUUGUUCUAUAAAUUGUUUUGAGUUUCAUGAGCUUUCAUUUCAAAAAUCGAUAUAUCUACUUGUAUAGUUUUAUCUAAUCCAAAUCAAGAUAUCAGAUUAUCCUUAUGUAAUUUGAGUUGAUCUAAUCAGUAUACGAUAAAACUGAAGUGUGAUUUGCACUAUUUUGUAGUAACAACACUUUGCCUCUAUCAUUAUUUGGCGUCAAACGAUGACGUCUUAAGCUUCUUAACAUGUCUUCUUCACGUUAAAUGCAAAGUUUUGUAUACGUGCGCAGUGGUGAUGACGGCCUUCUAACGACUAUUGAAGAUCAAUAAAUAUCACAUUUAAUUACUCUCAUGACUCAUUCCAGUCCAAAUUUGAAUGGGCCUACAAAGAUUAUAUCCCAAUACAAAGUCCAAUUGACAGCAACCUCCGUCACCUGAUUCUCCAAUUCCGGUGAAAAAAUCAUCGCCGGGAAACAAUACUCGGCCAACGAUUCUUCAGUUUUUCACCAACUUUUGUAUAUACGGCUAAAGAGACAUAUAAUACAGAACAAAACAAACUCAAUCGGUUGCUAAAUCCACCAAUAAUCAUUUGGAUUCAGCAAACAAAGUCCAACAGAGAAUGAUAAGAUCUGAAAGUCCACCACCGUUUGCUUAUCGAUCAGCUUCACCAUCUUUUCUGUCGUAGUUGGCUCUUCUCCGUGCCUCCUACCAUUUUUCUCUCUCCAAAUAGAGUGGAUUGUGUUCUGGAACACAUACUUGAGUAUAAAUCCUUUGGUUUUAUCGAUGUCUUUUCCUGCAAGCAUCUUCAUGAUCUCUAGCCAUUUGUCGGAUCCUCAGUCCACUGACCAGCUCCUCCCACACCUUUCUUGAGAACGGGCAUUAAAAAAAUGAGUGAUCUCUUGUUUCCAGCGGGUCUUUGCAGAAGAUACAGCUCGUAUCCACGUUCUUGUUCCAUUUAUCAUUCUAUCCCCUGUUGCUACUCUGUUUUUCACAACUAACCAAGUCAGGAAAGCGUACUUUGGGGUAGCAUUCGCAAACCAGAUCUCAUCAGAGCCUCUCGCCUCCCGGAAACCUAGCUCUCUUCGCGGCUGCCCUUGACAACUAAACCUCCCCGAAAUCCCUCAGUACUUAGAUAAAUGCAUUUGCAGCGCUAACAAAGCUCGGGGCAACAACAGUGCUUGUGCGUCAGAUAUAUAUAUGCGACAAUGAGGAUCCACACCACAAGUCAGGCAAAUUCAAGUAAACCCCUGUAACGGAGCACUUGAUCUGCUCAAGGGCUCGUAGUAGUGUUUUCACAUCAAAUUGGAAGCUAUAACUUCUUUGAUUAGUUUUUAGUGAAAAUAAAUCUCUAGUUCAGUAAUAUAUGUGAAGAGGUUUUCGAGUUGCAAAAUUUCUGCAGAAACCUCAAGAAUUAAACUUAUUGACAAAAGAUAAAAACUUGUCUGAAGUUGUUUGGUCUCAUUGAUUCUUUCAACAACUUAAUAACCCAUAAUAACUAAUUUAACUGAAGCAAAAUCAUAAUGAACCAUCAUUCCAACAUUGAGAGACCAAGAUCACCAAUUUUACUUGCCCUGGUUGUUGAUUAAAGCUUUGGUUAGGAAAUGCGAAACGAUUCCAACCGGACAGAAGAGAAGGCAGAGCGAAACCGAAUGCCUCGUCUCGAUCUGAUUCUCUAACCCAUCAUUAUAAACUUGCCUGCAAAUAAAAACCGAAAACAUGGUUUAUAAGAAACAUGUUCGGAUAAAUUCAGAACCCAUUAAUUGAGAAGAAACAAAUCCGCAAUAUACCGUGCAGCAAAAAGAUCUAUCACAAGAAGAUGAAUCCAAGCAGAAGCAAGAGUCAUUUCACUUGAGAACAUUUUCGCUAUUCCGGACAGCUGCAGAUGAAAUAAAAACAUUAGAAACUGCAUUGAUACAUUCUUGUUUUCGAAUGUUUCGGGAUGGUUGAGGGAAAGCAAAACCUCUGGCAACAUGUAUUUACUAGAAAACAUGUAUUUGAGCGUCUCGGGUGUCCAAGAAAGGUAUAACAAAUAUGCGUAUAAUACGCCUAAGACGAUAUACGGUAUGCUACUCUCCAUACACUUCUUGGUCUGCAAAAAGCAACAUAAUACUCAAUUUAGAUCAACUUCUUUGGUUCUGCACAAAAACUGCAAUAAAACAUAAAACUUACAAUUUCAGCUUUUGGAGCUACAACCAUGAGCGUAUAAAAGGGAAGAACCGCGGUAGUUCCAACCGCAAAUACACUGCUUGCAAUCUGAGAAGUAGUUAACCCUGCAACAUGAAUAUAUAAGAGAUUCUAUCACUCAUUUAAUCUGAGAUCAAAAGUCACAAAUGAGUGACAAAGUUUUAAUCUUUAAACUUCAGUUACAAAUGCAGAGAAACACAUUACAUGAAGCUCGUACACCGGAGAAUUUCUUGCGAACUACAGAGUUAGAAUUCAACGAAACAUUGGACUGAACAGAGAUUCCUGAUCCUCCAAUGAAGCUCCAACGAUGAUCUAAUCUAAUCUUUGAAGAAUCAAGACAAAGUUCCAAUCUUUUAGCCGAAAUGUUGCGUUUCAUCAUCUGAAUUCAAGAAAGAUUCUCUUUUACUUCAUAGAAAUUCAGAAACUUUCAGACAAAAACUCACAACAAUCAAGAACAGAGAUUCUUUAACAGUGACUCAGGAGAAAUAAAGUCAACUUAGUCAAUUCGAAAACCCAUUAAAUUCUUCAAUUUGAGUCAAAAGAUAAAGACUUUUAAGGUUAUCCAUAACUAUUCAAAACAGUAGAACCUCAACACAUAUACGAAUAGUGAAAUUGAAGAAGAAGAUACCGUGAGAGAUGAAGACAAAGGCUGAGAAACGCAAGAAGAAAAAGCCAUCUCUGAUUUAAAUCUGCCAAAAAUUGAUCUUUCAUCACCUUCUUCAACAAACUCUCUGCAUAUAUAUAUAAAUUAAACACAAAGAGGAAUAAUGGUUUGAUAGAUUUCCACUGAAUUAAAAAAUAAAACGGAAGUGGAAGGAAAAAAAGUUGUCUUUCACACUCUUUCUUGCUCAGUGUCCACAAUUAUAUGCAACACUUUUUGCUCAUCCUUCCAUCUUUAAAAACUUCAAUUUCGGUUUAGUUUAUUUAAAUUACUUAGAUUUUUUGUUUAUUUAAAUUAAAAUCUAUUAUAAUAUGGCAUAAUCAGUAGAUUCAGUAUAAUUUUGGUUUAUUUCAAUCAAUGAUAUAUCUAAAUAUUAGUAUUAUUAUUAUCAUAUAAGAUUUUAGUAAAUUAAUUACACAAAAAAGUUCAAUAUAUAAGUACACAUAAAUUUUUGAAUAUAUUGAUGGAAAAUUUAAAUGUAAAUGGUUUAUUUUUGUGUGAAAGAAGUUAUAUGUUAAUGGAGAGUUGUGAUCAAAGUGAAUUUAGGUGGACAAGACACAAGUCUAGUUUCAGGACAGAAAAAGACAAUAGUUAGUGUUUCCCCCAUUAAUUCGUUUUUUUCUUUUAUUAGAUUAUAUAUUUUAAUUUGUAUUCACAACCUGGUUAUUGCAUUAAGAAUUGACUAUAAAAAGAUUUAAAAAAAAAAUACAUUAACGAAAAGAAAAACAAGAAAAAGAUAGACAUGUGGCUAAUACUCAUUGCUUGAGAAAUUGGAUGGAGUACGAAGAUAACUUGGGUGGGCUAUUUGGUAUGAUAACUUAUAUAUCUAUUAAUAGGCCUUUUGGCCCACCCACUUUGUUUUUUUUUCUAUUCCUUUAUCACUCCCACCUAAUUUGUUUAUUUCAACAAAAAACAACACAUGAAAACAAAAACAAAACUUUGGUAACUCCUAUCUAACCAAGUUAGAAAAAGCCUUUGGGAGGCGAUUUUUUAGGUCUAGCCGCCAAACAACUUCUCUUCUCAAAUCUUUGUCGAUACCUCUCUGAUUUUCCGGUGUCCUUGGCCGGAGUCGUGAGAGGGUGUGUCUGUUUAUCUUUUAAUUGAUUUUCCUUUGUUUUGGGUCUUCUUUGGCUUCUCCUAUGGCGGAUUAAAGACAAGAUCUAGAUGGUUGUGCUUCGAUUGGGUUGGUUCCGUUCUAGUGAUGGGUUUGCUUGGUUCUCAGUGGAUGGUCGGUGUUUUCGUCGGAGCCCGUGUGGUUCUUCACUAUUACGGCUGUUUGUUUUUGGAGAUGGAGGUUUGGUUACUUCAUCUUGUUUAUGCCCGUAACUUUUAGAAGCUCUGCAGUCUCGAUUCUGUCUUAGGCUAAGAUUGGAUUGCCUUUGGUUGGGUAAUUUAGUCUUAGUAGUAUGGUUGGUUGAGGGUAGAAGCCUUAGUUUCAAGUUUAGGGAUGGCAAUAUUGACUCCUAGUUCUGCCUCCUGUUACUUUCUGCCCGGUUAUUGGGGUUAUGAGUUUGUGAAGGUUUCGUUUUGUGGGUUCUUCAUUUGGAUGGUAGUCUCCUACAAAGGCAUCUACUAGCUCUCUUCUUUUUCCUUGUUUGGAUUUAAGGUUUGAGUUCAAGACGAUGUGGUAGGCUCGGUCUCUAUUCCUUCUCUUGCGUGGCGUAACAAGUUCUUAGGCUGUAGAUGGUUUUGGCUGGGUCUACGAAUGUCCGCGUGUAAGGUUUGUUGGCCCUCUUUAGCGUUUUCCCCUUCGGAUCUCAAGGCUUCUCCUUGUCCCUUCUCCUACUUGUCUUCUCUGGUUUCUGGUGUGGUAGUGAUGGUUAGGAUCUGUGUUCUGAUUCUCUUUUAUCUGUGCUCGUUUCUGCUCGGGGUGUGGUUGUGUGAGCUUGGUUUUGUAUCCUUCUCGGGCCUUUCAUGUAAAGGCAAUCUAAUGAUGGGUCCUCUUGUUGCUCCUGUUUGUAACCACUUUCCAGCGCCCAAAAUGUUCUAUGGAAAUGUUCGUCGGAUUCUUUUCGUGAAGAGUUUGCAGUUGUGUUGCUUGAGUCUUAGAUAUUAGCUUUUUCCUGUACUUUAAGGUUUUCCUUCUUUUAUGUCUGCCUUUUUUGGCUUUUGUCUUUGGGGGUUUCCAUGUAUCCGCCGGCUUAGUUUUCCGGGGAUUAGAGUCCCGCCGGGGUUAGUAUUUUACCAUGUAUCCCAACUUUGUAUUUCUCCCUUGGUUAUAUUUCAUGAAUUAUUCAGACGAAAAAAAAAAAAAAAGUAAGUCCUAUCUAUCAAUCUUUAUGUGGUAUUUGAGCAUUUCGAUGUAUUCGAUGGCGACCAAAACCUUUUGAAAAACAAUAUGUAUAAUUCUUGAAAUUAAAUAGUAAAAAAGUUAUUAAAAAAUGGGUAAAAAAGUUUUAAGAUAUUUGAAAACUUUCCACUAUAUCAAUAAUUAAUUAGAAAUGUUUUUUUUUUUUAAUAAAAUUUGAGUUUUUACGACCCACACAUAGCAUAUCCUAUUUCGAAAGUACCUAAACAAACGGUUCCAAAAUAUCUUUAUGUGAAUUUGGGUCAAGCCCUUCGAUUGAAGAAAAUAUAUGAUCCACAAGAUGCUUGAAUAUACUUAGUAAAAAUGAAUAUUCAAGACUCUUAUCCAGAAUCCUAUCCUAAAGAAGGCACGUCCACUAAUGUAUCCAUCACUAGAUUUCAAGUGGGUCAUCUUUUACUUAAAGAUAUUGUUAGUCUAAACCUCUCAAGCUCAUUAAUCAUGUGACAAGAAUUGAAUGUGAAUCUAAUUUUUCUAGUGAUUUCUUUAGCGACACUAGAUAUGCUAUGGUUCUUCAACUUGUAAAUUUCAUAUUUGGAGCCGCAUUGUCCUCUUUCAUUUUGUUCAUAUGCAAUUCAAAUUGAAAGACUUAUAGAACAUUACAUAUUUAUUUCAUCAGACAGUUGAGAAUCCGAUAGAAAAUGUCUCGCAAACCGGAAAACAAACGUUAAAUCCGGAAAUUAAAACCCAUAAAAAAAGAAGAAGAAAAAAAGCAGAAGAACAAGGGAUAAAAUCAAAGGUGGGGGAUAAUGUUUUGAUGUUUACACAGAGCAAAGGGAAAUUAACCGGUGAAGCUUGGUGGCUUGUAGGCAAUGAAACUGAUGCACUGCACUUGACGGCUGUUGUCGAAUCCGAUGAUCCUAAUGAAGGCUUCAGGGUACUCCUUCUUGCACUCUUCCACUUCCUUCAACACUUGAGCGGAGUCGGUGCAACCGAACAAGGGAAGCUUCCACAUUGUCCAGUACCGUCCAUCGUAGUAUCCGGGGCUGUUACCGUGCUCACGGUACACAAAUCCGUGCUACAAACCACAUAUAUUACAACCACUCAGAAAAACAUUUUGUAUAUGUUUAUAUAAUUCAAGAUUCCUAAUAUAUGAAGCGAAUUACUAACCUAAUUUUCCUAAGAUCUACCUCGUUUAUAUAUAUGUUUUAAGCUUUUAUUAAUUACCUCCAACUCGAAUUCAACACAAGGAAUCCACUUGUUGCGGAGAAGGUAGUCAACUUCCUUAGCCAAUUCGGAAUCGGUAAGGUCAGGAAGGUAAGAGAGAGUCUCGAACUUCUUCUUUCCAACGGGAGGCCACACCUAUAUUUUUUUUUUUUAUCGAUUUUUCGAAUCAUAUUAGUUCAUGUAAAUCUAAUUAAAAACCGAUAAUAAAUUAAAAAGUGAAGAAGAAAUAUAUAUGACCUGCAUGCAGUUAACUCUUCCGCCGUUGCUUGUGAUGGAAGUAAUGUCGUUGUUGGCCUUGCGGGUGGCUGGGAAGGCAGCGGAGGACUUAAGUCCGGUGAAAGGAGCGACCAUUGUGGCCUGAGCCGGAGAGGCAACCAUAGUAGCGGAAGAGAGCAUAGAGGAAGCCAUUGUUCUUCUUUAC
Molecule: long non-coding RNA, 70218 nt
Filed under: Arabidopsis lyrata
Lineage: Eukaryota; Viridiplantae; Streptophyta; Magnoliopsida; Brassicales; Brassicaceae
Description: long non-coding RNA (ALYR_LNC002801)
Source: RNAcentral